CAUCAACUAAGCUCAGACAAUCAUGUUCCUCAUCUCAGUCGGGUCAUUAAGCAAUCAACCUUCGCAGACACAGUCUCCGUCUUAUCAUACUCCGCACCGACACUAAUCAUCUGCCAUAUUGCCGCGAGUUAAGGCUCACCUCCGCCAAUACUGUUUUAUUUCCACAAUGGAGCAGAUGCAAUCUUCAUUCAUCAUGGUCAAUAUCGAAAUUGCUGUGACGUCGCAGCGGGUUAACCCUCACCUCUAGAAACACUGUUCUAUUUCUACAAUGGAGCAGAACAAUCUUCGGAUUACCAUAGUCACCGUCGACAUUGUAACCAGUUAUGAUGUUGCACUGGGGUUCAGCUCACCUCCAGCAACACUGUUCUAUACUUCUAUAUCUAAGUUGGUUAUUCCUUGCUCGGGAAGACCCCAAUCCCACAAGCCCAUUAGCACAGCGCAACUACUGCAAUAUUCAAAAUCCAUUAAAGGCCCAGUGCGUAUUGCUCAUAAAAGCCUCUUAUCUAUGACGGAUUCACGCCGACAACUAAAUUGAAGAAAGCCAAGCGCAAACCCAGACAGCAAAUGAGGCAAAGAGAUUGAAGCUGUGCAACCAAGCAAUCUUAGAACUGCUCAUUUGGGAUGCAGCAAAUUUGAACAGGACAUAGAGAGCACUCAAAAGAUAAAACCAGUAACAAAAUUUCACAAACGAUAAAUAACAUUAGCCGAAGUAACAUCUUAACUAAAACGAUGCACUGUAUUCAAUACAUAAGAGAAGUAAAUCCAAAUCCUGCUUAUAUGGCAGAAAUUUCCAAAAGGAUCGCGAAAAGAAACAAUGGAGAUUGAAUGAAGCAAAGACUUCCUAACAAGGACUCUAGUUGUCAAAUGCAUCAUCAUCAUCAUCGGGAAGAGGUUGGGCAGCUGCUGCAUUAAGCUCAGCCUCAUGCCUGAAAUAAUAUCAACAAACACCAAAGUGAGAUGAUUUACUUCUAUGCCAAAUUUUCAUUCUACUGUCCAUAUAUAACUUAACUUUUUUUGGUAAUGAUCAUAUAACUAACUUAGCCUCAAAACAUCUAAACGUAGGAGAAAAUCACAUAGCAAGUUCAUGAAUGAAUAGGGCCUUACUGUAGUUGAGUAGCCAUGUCAAUCUGGACUUCUGGGGGAGCAAGAGCUGGAGACUCGACGAAAUGAAGAUUGGCAUCACUGAAAUGAAGGCAAUAAUAAUAUUAAUUAUGAGUGUCCAAGCUUGUACAUCAUUAAAACAAAAUGAGUCUAUAGUUAAUUACCCUGCAAGCUUCCUGGCCAGGUAGAGGAAAGGUUUCUCGAAAUUGUAGUUGCUCUUUGCAGAUAUCUCAUAGUACUGCAAGUUCUUCUUCCUAUGGAAGGUCACCUGCUUAGCUUUAACCUGCCUGUUCUUCACAUCAACCUUGUUCCCGCAGAGGACAAUGGGAAUGUUCUCACAAACCCUGAUAUUUUAAGAGACAAAUGUAACAAUUUGUCAGCAGGUGGGUAAACAAGACAACAAAAACAAGAACAGAUUUCAAUCUCUAGAUUCAUUCAACUCACCGGCAAAGAUCACGAUGCCAUGUAGGAACAUUCUUGUAUGUCAACCUUGCAGUGACGUCGAACAUAAUGAUUGCACAUUGCCCAUGGAUGCUGCAAAAUAAAAAAAUAAAUAAAAAAAUUUAGAAAGACAACCCUUAUUAGUUAUUACAAACAAUCGAUAAAACCAAAUCAUGACAACUAAAGACGCAUAGCCAGAUACCACAGAGACAAGCACUGGUAAUGAACCUAUGUUCUGUUCAAAGAAGAUGAGAAAGCAACGUGAACACAUCUUCCCUAAUGAUUUACUUUCUUGUUUUCAUAUGAAUACAUUACAUUCUCCCACCCAAAUCAUAAAAAGAUUCUAGACAACAACCAUACUCAAAGUCAAUUGCAUGCUUCUAAAUCAGAUAUCAACAAUCAACAUAUUGGUAGAGACCACUUACUAGUAACCAUCUCGAAGGCCACCGAAUUUCUCUUGCCCAGCAGUAUCCCAGCAGUAAAACCGGAUCUUCCCACAGUUUGUGAAGAAGUCUAGAGGAUGAACCUCCACACCAAUAGUUGCUGUUUCCAAAAUAAACAAAAAACCAUCAACAUAAAACCCAAAAUCCAAGCAACGGAGACAAAUUGACAAAUUGACCAAUUUCAAAAUUCAGAACGCGACUCUUACGUUCAUAUUUCUUCUCAAACUCUCCGGUAAGAUGCCUCUUCACGAAAGUAGUUUUUCCUGCGCAAUGCUCACACCAAUCAGCCUAAUCCAAAACUCAUCCGCUUACAGUAAAAAUAAACACUGAUAAAAUCAAGCCAAAAUUUACAGAAAAACGUGAGCAGUAACAAAUUAGAUCAAAUCGAUCAAACCUACUUCAAUCCUAUCGGAACGAAACUCCAAAAGAUCUAAAAUUUACAGAAAAACGAGAGCGGUAACAAAAUUAGAAGAUCAAAAAUUUACCGGUGCCUCCGUCGCCGACGAUGACGAGCUUGAAGCUCGGAUAAUCCACAGUCUGUUGGUUUGGCAAAGCCUACAACAUCAAAAUCGAAAUCAACACUAAACCCUAAUUCCCAAAAACAAAAGCACAAACAAAGACGAUCCAGAGCUAAAACCCUAAGGCAUGAUCGAGAAGAGAGAGAGAGAGAGUGAGAGAGAGGUACCAUGAUCGGUGAAGCGGCGGCGAAGUGAGAAAUAGAGACGGCGAUUUGGGGUUUAGAGGUAGGUAGAGGGAGGCGGAGGGGACUACUUAUAUAAGGCUGGGAGCGCGUGGCUUUAAAUCGACGCGACUAUCUCGCCCAUAUGAUUUGCGUAGUUUUAACGCUGGGUUCUAGAAACCACCGUUGAGGUGUGGGGUGAGUGUAAAAGGGGGUGUAGAGAGAUAUUUUCUCCCCUUUUUGAAUUUUGAAAGUUUGGAUCUCUAAUAACAAAGCUUUUGUUUACGGUUUUGAUUUAUUUGUGUUCUAUAAGUGCAAAGAUAUUUUUCUAAAUUUGAGAAAAUAGGAAAAAGAUUGAGUAUAAAUUCUAUGUCGAUUAGAUUUGAUGAAUCAAACCGGAUAAGAGGUAUUAUGUUUUGGAUUUUUACUAUCAAUGCGUGUAUAGUGAAGAUUUAGAUUUCGAGUUUUGAAAAACUGAUAGAAAAUGAGAGUACUGUAGCUACUCUUGAUUUUCGAUUGUAGCUGAUGCGCUGCCCUCUUGACACUUGAUACUCGAUUAUGGCCAAUGGCAGAACCACGUUUGGGUCUGUGGUGUCCAUACCUCUUCAGGUUUUCAAGCACUUCACGAAGCUACCAAGUUACUGGCAAAUACAUGAAAGUUAUUGUUUCUUUUUUGUAUGUUGUUGAGAUUGUCUCUUUUAUAGAUUAACUCAUUCCACACACACAUGUAUCUAGCAAGUGUAAAUUGUUUUUAACUAAUAUGUAUAAAUAUAAUAAUGUUUAUGUUAAGGAGUUUCGAUUACUCCUUAACAAUAUUAAUAUAAAUUUAUAAAUUUUUUCUCUUGCUAUAGCCAGUUCAGAUUGCUAUGAUAGUCUGAUACACGGUAUUUCAAAACCCUCUCAAAAUCGUGAUUACAUAAUAAGAUGAAACCAUCAGAAUGAAUUUGUUUUGGUGAUUCCGAAGACUUGCUACAGAAAGAACUAACGCAUCAAAAAAUACAGGAGGUUAUCAAGCGUUAAACCCUAGAAACGAUGAAGAGUUUACAAGCGUAAACUCAUCAAUAAAACUCUGGAAUUCAACAAUCAAUCGUGUCAAAAAUACUUUGGGUUCAAUCCCAUUAUUUUUUUUUUUUUUAAAUAUAUAUUUAGGAGUUUCUUAAAGUCAAAAGUCCUCUUUGUCCCCGCGUAUCCGGGUAUAUUACAAAAUCGUACCACGUAUCCGGACGUAUCCCAGAGGCGUAUCUACACUUGAUUAUGAGAGAAGAGAAAAACAAUGGGCGCAUAAACCCGGAAAUAGAGAGACCACAGACGACCCGAUUCUGGUUUUUAAGGCGAAGAACCUGAACCAAUUGCCACAGAUCUCAAGUCAUGGCCACCUGGCCCUCCUCUUCCGACCCUUCUAAUCAGUAAGCCCUUCAAAACCCACCCAUAAAUUAUCUCUAUGUUCUGUUUUCAUCUCAAUAAUCGAUUUGUUGCAUGCAUGAAUGUAUUUGGAAGGCAGCCUGAGGCAAUAAGGAAGAGAAAUAAGUCCGAUCAAAUUAAGUUCCUGAUUCCUCUCAUCUACGCCCCCGUGCUUCCCCUCAGUAAGUUUCGCCAAUUCUGCUCGGCUUUUUUUGUGGUUCAGUCUGUGAUGUUGUUCGUGUUUGACAUCUUGGUUUUUGUGUUUUCUUGGUCAGUUCGGAUCACGCUGCGGAAACAACCGGUUCUAAGGGACCGUCUGUUUAUUGCUGUGUUGGCUGGGGCAUUUGCUCAUGGCACUUAUUUGGUGUAUCCUUUUGUUGAGAUAUCGAAUUAUUGUGAUUGUUAUAAUGUUAUACUUGGUGACAUUCUGCUAAGAAAUUGCUAUGCUUGAUUAAGAAUGCGCCAAGUAUUGAUCUUUGCAUUUGAAUGGUUGAGGAUGUUAGAAGUUGGAAAUGAUUAGUACAUACUAAAUGUUUAUUUAUUUUAGUAUUUUGACUUAGCGAAUUUGGAUUGUUAGGGGAUGCAUUUGCAAUGAGAGGCUGUAGAAUAAGAAGUGUAACUGAACUCAGGGAGAGGUACAACUGCUUUGUUUCAGAUGUUUAAGAGUGUGCGUAAAUGUUAGCACAGAGAGUUGACGAUGUCUGAGUGGAAAAGAGCGUGAUAAAGCAUGUUUCUUUCUGUAGUUGACGCUCGUUGUGUAUAUGUGCUCAUCUGGUUUCUGUCUUACUAAUGAGCGUUGGAAGUUCCGGUAGUAGUUCAUACUUCAUAGGGAAAGGGAGGAUUGAUCUUUAAGAGUGUAUGUAGACAUGCACAGGCAGUUUAUGGUGGCUGAGAGCAGACAGGGAAGAUAAAUACAACUCUUUGUAUAGUUGGGUGAUGUUUUCAUCCGCUUUCUUUAUUUUGUCUCAGUUGUUCAUUAUUUAUCGGGUUUCGUCUGUUGAUGUUUCAUUGGAGGAAUAAGAUGUUAGGACUUAGGGGAAUUUGUUUUAGAUAAUUUGUUUGAAUCACAAGCUCAAAUUUAUAUUGGUAAUAUGGUACUGGAUAUGAGAUUUCAUAGAUAGUAGAGUACCUCAUUUUUUCUUUUCUGCUUGCAAGUUAGAGUUCUUCACUGCAUCCUCUUGUGGUUCCUAGGGAGAAUUAGCAUUCAGUAGUUAUUCUGAAUUAAUCCUUUGAUUUAACCAUGUUUAAGCAAAAGUUUUCAUUCAAAGUAAUACGGUAUCAGAGUUAUGUUCAUGUAAAUUUCUUCUCAAGAAUCUUCCACUGUUAUUAACUUUUUGCAACUCUAUGUCUCGUCUUUUUUUUUCUUUGUAUUCUGUUGUUGAUCCUUAACAGACUUUUUGCAGGACGGAUCUUUUUAAUUGAGAGCAAGUAAAAUUUGCACACAUAGUUGAGAUAUGAGGUAGCGUACAUCUCUUCAACAACUUUGAAUUGUUUUGCGGAUUCUUUGCAGCUCAAUGCUUCAAUGGCUCCCAGAGUAUACUAAUACAAUUUUGAUAUUGUCUCUGGAUGAUUCCUAGAUUAUAUCCAGUUAUUAUUAAGUAUUUACUAGUCCAUUUCUUUUCCUUUUCACUAGCUCUCAACAAGUUUUCAACACUGUUUUACUGAUUACAAUAAGAACACGAUCGAAAUUGUUUUGUUAAUCUCUUUGGUGAUCUUAGUUAUGUAUGUUGAUAUACUGUAGAGGACUUGCAGUCUGCCUUGCCAAACCUUAGCAUACUAUUACUAUUUGGACAGUUAACCCCUUUUAUAACUGAUAGCAGUCUAAUUGAUGCGGAUGUCUAGCAAGAGUUUGUUCUACCGAAAAUCUGUUGGAACACUCUUGCUUCAAGUGAGAUUUUGCCUCUGAUUCUAAGUCCUUCCAAUGCCAAAUAUCUGGCUAGGGUUGGUUGUCACAAGAUGUCGCCAUCAUCAAGUCAUGGACAUUUCAUGAGCUACAUGCAUUCCACAAAAUAGUUGUGAUGCACAUAGGCAUAUUCCGAUAUCGGAUUCUUUCUACGAUUCGAGUCAUGGACAUUUCAUGAGCUAUAUGCAUUCCACAAAAUAGUUGUGAAUCACGUAGGCAUAUUCCGAUAUCGGAUUCUUUCUACGAUUCAGUAUCUCAACCAAGAUCCAAAUAUUCUGUAUCCCACUUGCCACUUGUCCUUCCAUCGAUCCCCACAUCAAAUCCUAACCUCUGAUAAACCCUAGCUCUGGAAAUUCGACUAAAACCCCAAACUCCUAAAGCUUGCAUAGGUCGCUCACUGGAUUAGAGAUUAAUAUAACUAAUUAGGUCACAUCAUUCAUCGUCAGAUCCAAUAUUGAUGCAAAGCAUAGAGAUAUAUAGUGUAUACAAAUCAAUAAUUACAUACUUAAUCAGCUUAAUCACGCAAUUAACUCAAUAAACAAAGGGAAAAUGAAAGCAUAACAUAAAAUUAAUGCCAUCACCAUCUUACACAAGUUCAACCCCUUUAAAUCUACUUUAAUAAAAAAAAAUGAAAAAAUAGAUGAUCUGGGGCUCCCUUCGAUCCGAUCCUAAUUAUCCAGGCGUUAUUGACGCGGCCGGCUCAGAGAUCGGACCGGUUCUUGAAAUCGGAGGCGAGUCUGUUGGCGAUGGAGGAGUGGUACAUGGCGUCGUGAAACGUCUCCGUCUCGAUGGUCUUGAGCCGGAGCUGCUUGGCCUUCUCCUCCGUGAAGCAGCCCGGCGCGAACCGGGAUCGCUGCGGCGGCGGCUUGGACUCCGGUCCGGCCUCGGCCGGCUCGGUGGAUUUGGAGUUGGUGGAGUCAAUGUAGUCCGGUUCAGCGGACCAGCCGAAGAGGGGGCUCCACCACUUGGAGGUGCGGGCCGGGUCGGGCUUGCGGUUGGCGGCGGCGCACGGGGCGGUGAGGGAUGGACGGAAGUGGAUGAGAUUGGUGGCCAUUUUUAGAGAGAGAAAGAGAUGAGAGAGAGAGAGAGAGAGCUUCUUCAAAUGAACGUUUGCGUUGGGGUUGGAGUAAUGUGCCAGUUUGCAGGUUGCGAAUUUAAAGGGGAAGUGUGGGAAAAGUGGAUAAGGACCGACAGUGUUCGUGUUCGUACAAUAAAUAACUCCGGGCACGUGUGAGCAGGGGCCCACUUUGGCUUUUUGAGUUUUGAAUGAACAUUCCUACCGGCUAAUCCGGUCUCCGUUUAGAUUUGGUCUUAGAUGCCUACGGGAUAGUGAAUGGACCGUAAUAGCCUCCUUUUCACUUUUUUUACUUUUUUCUUUUACUGUUGGCCUCUGUGAUCACGGAGUCUUCAAUAUUAUGUACACGGUGUGUAGUUUCACUUAGGGCAUCUCUAAAAAUGGUUGCCAUACCUAAAUUCAUACUUAAAACCCAUAAAAAUUCAUCUCCAACAAUUAAAACUCAUACUCAAUUAUGGGUUCCUACUACACAGACGACCCAAAAUGGGUCGAGUUGCAAGGAGGAAACCCAAAACUGUAGACGCGGGACCCAGAUGGCAACAAAAGGCAGCAGGUGCACGUGAAAGACUGGGUAGCGGCAGGAGCUACACGCGGUGAGCUUGGUCUGUGGAGAACGCGCGCUAAAGACAGAAAAACGGGCAGGCGAGGAGCGCGCGGGAGCGCGAGACGCGCCAAUCACGCGUGAGCGGGAGAUGCACACCUGCGGUUGAACCACGUGAGCUCGCUUCUGACCCUCCAAAGGUCCAAAAACGCUCGGCCCAGAUUGAAUGAUCAUUCAAAUCAUCAGGUCCAGAAAAAAUAGGCCGAAAAUUAAAUAAUUUGAAUGAAAAAAAUUUGGGUAUGAGUAUGGGUUUUGAUAUAAUGGUUGGAGAUGAAAUAUGAGUUUGAAUAGUAAUGGGUUUGGGUAACUCAAAAUAUGGGUAUGGGUUUGAGUAUGACAACCAUUGUUGGAGAUGCCCUUACCUAUGUGGAUAUAAACAGCUAUGAAUAAACCGUGUACUUGUACCGUUAUGUAUACAAGAAUUUUUCGUUCUAGGGUCAGUCUUAUUCUUCAAAUGGGUAGUUUAUAAAUUAAAUUAAAUUAAAUUAUGGUAACAGAAAAAUAGAUGAUGUGUGAUAAAUAAAAUAGCGUGUGCAUAGUAUCAUCAAUCCUCUCGAUUAUUAUAUGAACCAGUCUUCCAUGGACUCGAGUAUAUAUGUAAUUCAUGCAGGGCUUAGUAUAUCCGAGUAUAUGCCAUUGAAUCACUAGCUACUUGAACAAUAUGAAAUUAGUUUUACAAGUUGAAGUAUAAUCUACAAAUUUUCUCCGACGCAUGUACCAUGCUAUCAUUGAAUAUGAUGGAGUACGUCGUCAAACUAUUCUCAAGCGGCAUAACAACCGCCGGUAAAUACAUUUCUCAACCCAGCUAAGACAGCAAGAGAUGAAAAUAUCCCAUGCAGAUGCAGAUGCCAUAUUGAAUAAGUUGUCGUGGACGAUCAUGAAAACCGAAAAAUUGGAGCUUCCCCGAAACCUUGGUCUCGUUCUCUUGACGUUUUCCCCCGACUGACCUUUCCAAGUUUGGAGGAAAGAGGCCAAAGUAUGAUUCAAAAUUGGUACAAAACAGUAGCAUCGUCGAUACAUAAGAGCGAAGAUUCCCCAGAUGCUCUAUGUCGUCCCUGUCCUUCAUUCGUCCGUUUGUCUCCGUCCUAAAACUGCAGAAAGUCGGACGGUAUGUACACGUUCAGAUCAGUCUAUUCAAAAGUCUGAAGAUUCAGAACAUCCUUGGCCCUUGGAUUUUCUGUUGGUGAAUACGACAUGCGCGCACGUUUUUUUGUUCUCUGGUUCAAAAUUCAAAUAUCUCUCUUCGUGUUCGUUUUGGAGCUGUAAAACCUCAAAAUGAAUCCGGCAGAUAAUACAAAGUUACUUCUCGAUCACUGUCGAGGUGGUAGCUAGGGAUCGAACUUUUCAAUUUUGACCGAUGCUAAAUGAGUCAUUGCCACAAGUCCCUCAGCCGCUCAACUUGGAAGCUGAGAACAACGUUGCUUUGUUUUCAACUCUAGUGCAAUGUGGGAUGUCCGCCGAGACUUGACUUGUCUGGAUGGGGAUUUCAUUAGAAGGCCACAAGAUGCAAGGGGCGACCCAAAUAGCUAGGCCUGCAUAGAAUAGAAUGAGGCCCAAAAACAGGUGUCCUUCCAUUAAUUUCCUAGGCCACCAAUAUCACUAGAAAUGUGUAGAAAUUCGGCCCUAGAGGACUAUUUGGGCCCUUCAUGGAUCAUACGAUAUAGAUCAGAUAUAUAUAUUGUAGGCCUUAUUUGAUACUAUAUAGCUCUAUAUAUCCGGACUACUACUCACCUUGUUUCUUUAAGUGAUCCUUGUAUGUUAUUGGCCAUUUAUCUUUGCAUCUCUUAAUCCAGACUUCGGAAUGAUGAAUGGUAAGUCAGUAUGUAUUAGGGAAGAGCUUUCCCAUCGUUCUGUUAUAUCAAGCUGAAUGAAGUUGUACGUACCUCGAUGAAAAAGGAAAGCUAAUCCAGUUGCGAGAAGAAGAUCGAAGUUGUUCAUGGUGAGAAUAGAAACCCUGAGGCAAAUUGUGCGUAACUCGUACAGAGAAUUAGUGCAAUAAUGUGACAGUUAAGUUAAAGCUUGAACAUCAAUGCUAAAGGCAUCACUUGCUUGUUUUGGAAUCACGUACAACUUCGAAAUCUUGACAGAAAGUGUUAACUAAUUGUAUCCCUGUUCAGGUUUUUGAUGAACUCCGCAAGUCACUAAAUCUUCUCUUUCGACCAACUUUGUGUCUAUCAAGCAGUUGUUGCUCCAUCAUAGUUUCCAGUAGUUCAUCACAAAAUAUCAAGGUUGGCUAGACAUGUAUAUAUAUGUCUCAUGUCAUCCAAAUCCAAAACGAAUGUACCACAUGCAUGAAUAGAAGAAUUGCUAUAUACGAACCCAAGCUAUCAGCCAAGCAGUCGAAAGUCAUGCACAGCACAACUAACUGAAGCAUCAGUGUGACGGUGAUGAUCAUGAGUUGCAGUGGUUACAUGCAUGUUGGUUAAUUGAAGAAGCUAACCUAAACUUAUCUCACUGCAUGCAACUUGUGUGGUCCGCUCUCCAAAAUUUCGAGACCACAAUCCCACAUGCAGAGAAAUUUAAGACGUUGAAGAAUUCCUACAGUGACAACUGAUACGACUCCCUCCUCAAGUUGGAAUUAAAGACAUUAAUCUUCUGCAGCAAAGCUUUUGUUAAUUUUUCGGGUCCAUUUCAUAUAGGGUUCGGUUGCUAUAUAUAUUUAUAUGGCAUACAUCAAAUCGUGAGUCGUCCGAUCGUUUAACAAUUUAAAAUUCAAGACGAUUGGACAACUCACGGCUUAAUCUUAAUGUAUGCUAUAUAUAGCAUAGUAGAAAAGUCUUUUCCUAUAAACCUAACAGAAGGGCUUGGCUAAUAUAGUAACCCAGAAUCUCCCCCAUCUCCAAUAAUGCUUCUCAGAUCUUUAUGAAUAUGAAUAUGAAUUAUUAAGGUGGUGGGAGACAUUUAAUCAUUGAUGCCCUCUAUUGGAGCUUUGCAAAGGGUCCAAAGUUAGGUCCCAAAUCGGCAUGUCACUCCUUUUCCUCUAGUUGUUAGUCGCCAUUUCUAGGACCUCUACAGGGCUCCAUGAGCUGACUGGGUUUUGCUUCUUCCAAAUGUCUAGGCCUAUCCCCUUUCACUUUCAGCAACUCAACCACCGACCCAAUUCUCCGUCACUGACCAAGCUUAUGUUGUAAUUUAGCUUACAAGUCAGACUUUAACACUAAUCUAAUUUACCCAACAGUAAACACAAAAGGGGUUAUAGAGAAGCUGUAGUCAUCGCCGGCGACCGUAUCUUUAGCAGCCGGGAUUGGUUUGUGUAACCUAAUUAACCUCCAGACUCGGGGAAACAAAGCAGACCAAUUAUGAUUCAUGUUCAUGAAGAGCUAGCUUUUCUGUGCCAUCAUAGUUUUUAAACUUAUAAAGCCUAACUUAUGAUGGGGGAAGGGGCCUCUACCGCCCUCUAGUACCUAACUGACUUUAAAAUUUACAAGGCAUGAAUCUACGCAAUGCAAUAAACAUGGUCGGCCGCUUCUCAUAAUUGAAAUUCAUUCGAAUCUAGCUAGCUAGCUAGACAUAACUAUAUGCAUGAUCGGUUGUUCCUACCUAGCUAUAGACAAUUAACCUAGCACUGCGCGCUCGCUCUCUUUGAAUUUUAGUACUCAUGCAUGCAUAGUGCACAGUGCCCUUACGGUCAUAUCCCUGCAGCAGAUCCUGCUGCAGAACCUGCAUGCCUCCCCUGCGUAUAUAAUACAUAUACAUACACAAACAUUUCUAACUCUCUACUUUAACAUACACAAAAAUAAGACGAUUGACUAAUUAAUCAUAAUGCUUUUUAAUAUAAAACACAACCUUUUCUAUUGGGGAAGAAAGAAUAGGCUUCAAGAAAGAAAUCAUCUACCCUGAUCAUAAUUUCUUCAAUGACAGAUUGACAGAUGUAAUUACAGGACGUACUACUGCCCGCACACACGUUAAAAUAAGAACGGUCUAUAUUGCAGUCCAUUUUUCCUCAAGAGAUACCAAUCAAGUUUGAAACCCUAGCAUGGAAAUAAUGCAUAUAUGCGAACCUUCAAAUAAUUAAACAGUGGUUGUCCAGAAAAGACUGGUCCAGUUAAAACCCGUGUGCGUACAGAGAUGCAAAGCAAAACUGCGGUACUGGGUUUAGACUCCUUCACGGAAAGACAACCAAAACCCUUUGAAACUUGUUCAAAGCGAACCGCGGACCCAUGAGAUCGAUCAAACUGGGACCAGGGUAGAUACCUCUUUGUGUUCUUUCGACUCAAUUAUCAAACUUAAAUUUUGCCCUAGCUUCUGGCUUUAUCUAUCAAUUCCAAAAGAGAAUCUAAAAACGUACCCUUGUUAAAUUUUGCUUCCCUUUCCUUUUCUGCCUGCUUUGUCCACAUUGAUCUAACAGAUACAACUAUCUUCUACCAUGAAAUCGAUAUGCUGUCAUGGAUGAUGUAAUAUAACAUUUUGGAACAAUUUCGAACACCUAAAGCUAGCUAGAAGUUCAGAAAAAUGCUUCUAAGCUAUCGAUUAAGUUCAACAUUUAGCUAGUUUCUUUAACCCUAAUCUAGAAGUUCAGAAAUAAGUUAGGAGAAUCAAACCUAAAUCUUUUGUUGUUAAUACUUGAACAAGUAAAGCACGUAUUCCAUUAAUUGGAGACGAUUGAUUUGCAUAAAACCACGUACUUAAUUAUACGUAUAAUACAUGUAUUGAAUCUUUGGAACAUAUAUAGUAUCUCACCGAUUCAAUAUACUUCCCUAAGAAAUGGUAGGGCAGGAGUCGAUUUGCCUUUUCUUGAUCACAAUUGAGACAAAACAUGACAAUCGAUCACUUUAAUUUAUUUCUGUGCUGGUCAAAAAUGGGAACCCCGUUAAUCUUUUUGGUAAUCAUCAACAACUUCAUGGAAGCACCAUUAUAUUCAUGAUUUUCACAAUUAAAUUUCGACCUACCACACCCAUCUACCACCUCUUGAUUUUCAAUGGUGUAUGUUCAAUUCCGAUGUCCAAUCCCAAUGGCUGGCGGUAGUGCUUUUCACUUCGUUCAUCGUUAAUCAAUGAGUUUCUUGUUUACUUUCUUAUCAGAGUCAUAGCUAUGUCAAUGACUUCCUUCGAUCACUUGAAAAGAUUUAAAAAACAAAAAACAAAAAGAUUUGUUUCUUUCGCACACUGUGAUGAUCGACAGGAAAUCACAAGGUACCAGACGUGUCGCACAGGCAACGGUGUUAGAGAAUGUUGUAUUAGUUUUGCAACGCUAGGUUUAUACUUUAAACUUUACUUAUAUGUGCCUUCAAAAGUAUCAAAGUGCAAAAUAAAAGAUUUAAAGAGAAAAGUUGAAUCAACGAGUACUCAAAUAAUAUUGCUUUUAUGGUUGGUUGAUGAAGAUGUUGGAGCUGGACUGCUGGAGACUUGGAUCUAGCAAAGCUAACAUCAUAGGGAAAAUGAUUAGUACGUGAAACCUGUGUACCCUAAUACUAAUCAUGUAACACAUGCUUUGAGUACCGGUAAAUAUUGAGUCUUCUACGUACCACAUCGAUUUGGGCAUGUUAUUUCCUGUUUUUCAUCUUUUUAUGUUUUAUAAUAAUUUCUCGUCAUUUUGAUAAUCCAAUUACGAAUUGACAAAUUAUAUGUAUGUUCGUAUUAUGGUAGAGAAAACUUUUCUACUUUAAUUUUCUGCUGAUAUCCUCAUUGGAUGAGUAAGUAAAUAGGAAUCAAGAACUAAGGAUAUAGUAAGAAUAAUUUCUAUUUUUGUAACAGAAUUACAGAACACAAAGAAUCAUUUCCAUAACAAAAUUAGCCGAGUCAAAUAUAUAAGUAUUUUGCUUUUCUCGUUUUAAUUAAUUGAAAACAAUAUUAACAAAAGAAGAAAUUAAUCAAUUGUCUGCUUCAACUUGUAGUGCUCCAUCACUACAGAUCGAUCGCCUAACCAAAUAACCAACAACUAGCUAGCAAGGGUUCAUCAUCAACAACUAGCUAGUCAACCAUUCUAAUUCUAUUUCGUGCGUGCAUGCGUGCGUUGGACUUACCUGGAGAGAAGUGGAGGCAUACGAUGCACCCAUGCAUGUUCCAUAAAUGGUCAUGUUCUUCUUCGUCACCGAUCACGACCCUUAUUUUAGCUAGAGAAAUCGAUAUGGCGGCAGAGAUCUAAGAAUUAAGAACAACAAUCUGGAUCUGCCUGCUACACUUUCUACGUUGAUUCUUACUCAAUAUAGAUAGAUAUCCUUCUUACCAGAACAGGAAACUCAACCACUUCUAUAAUUUUAAGAACAAACAAGUGAAAAUAUAGUCUGUAUGUGGAUAAUUUUAUUUAGUUAGCACAUCUGGACGACUUUGAUUUAAUUUUAUUAAGCAUUUGAUGGCCUGCUUGAAAAAGUAGUCUCAACACGCCUCUGCAUGUGUGGUGAAUUUUCAAGUCUAACACGUGGACAACAUUUGGGGUGACGUGGAGUUGGUGUGUCCGUUCCGAGAAAUUUUUCAAUGCUCCCGAAGGACCACGUGACAAUCUAACGUGGUCCUCCAUUGCCAAUUAAUUUUUGACACGUGGAUUUAUUACAACUAAAAUAUAAACUAAGGUUUUCUAUAUUUUGUGAAAUGAUCGUCUUGGGUUUUUUAUGAGUUCGGCCUAGGGUUUAGGGGUUAGGGUUUAGGGUAUAGGGUUUAGGAUUUAGGGUUUAAAAUAUCAACAAGAAACCCAAAAUGGUCUUUGAAAAAAUCACGAAAAUUGUUUUUCAUCAUGAAAAUUUACAUGUCAAAAUUUAAAUUUGACACGUGGAUUUAUUACAACUAAAAUAUAAACUAAGGUUUUCUAUAUUUUGUGAAAUGAUCGUCUUGGGUUUUUUAUGAGUUCGGCCUAGGGUUUAGGGGUUAGGGGUUAGGGGUUAUGGUUAAGGGUAUAGGGUUUAGGAUUUAGGGUUUAGGGGUUAGAAUUUAAAAUAUUAACAAGAAACUCAAAAUGGUCUUUGACAAAAUCACGAAAAUUGUUUUUCAUCAUGAAAAUUUACAUGUCAAAAUUUAAAUGGAAUUGAGGACCACGUUAGACUGCCACAUGGUCAUUCGGGAGCACUAAAAAAUUCCUCUGGCCGUUACACAUUCACACGUGGACAUGAGUAACCCACUCUAAUAUUAUGGUAAAAUAGUCUGGAGUUCACAUCCAAAACAAAUUGGUAAUGGGUGGAGUGACCCAAACCCUUAUAAACCCACAUAUUUGGAUUGAUAUCUCAACACGCCCCCUCACAUGUGGUGAAAUUUCAAGCCUAACACAUGGACACCAUUUGGGUGACGUGGAGUGUGUGUGACCAUUAGGCUUCACACAUGGAAUGGGUAACCUGCUUUGAUAAAGUAGUCUGAGAUUCAUAUCCAAAACCAAUUGACAAUGGAUAAAGAGACCCAAACCCUUAUAAACCCACAUAUAAGGUCCUAUAUUCCCGAUGUGAGAUUAAUAUCUCAACAUUGGUAUGCCAAUAUGUCAUCGAUGAAUAUACAUACUGGCAUUGCUAAACAAUAUGGAGAAAUGCAUAAUUACAACUUGAGAUAUGUUAAAAAGUCGAUUACAUAUAUCUGUAUCAAAGUUGACGAAAUUAAUCAAUUUUAAUCAAAUCGAUUGAAAAUCUGAAAGUGAUCGAUGCACGCAGACGACAAACUUCCAUGGCCUCCACAUGAGAUGACGAGUAUUUUGGCUGAUAAUGGAGAUUAUUAAACUAAAUCUAGCAUAAUUGUCCACGACAAUUUGGUUUAUUAAUUAGUUAUAUAAAUCUCUACUUGAGUCGUUCGAUUCUUAUAAUAAGCUAGAUCUUAUUAUGGAUGGAUAAGUUCUUAUAUAAUAUAUAAUUGUUGAAUUUGAACCUUUGCACCACAUUAAAAUGAUGAUCUGCAUUCUUUGAUAGAUAAAUAAUCCGAAGUUAUUUUCAUGCAAGUACAAGAAGUUUGAAGAUUCCAGAGGUUUUUGGUAGAGACAUAUCUAACUUCACUGUUUUUAGAAUCUAGGAUAAUCACAUACACAAAACACCAAUUCAUUCCAGUGUAUUGAACCAAAUGACUAAACCAAGUCUGAUAGAUAAUACCGAAGUACUAUUGCUCGGAUGGGCGAGCAGUACUAUUUCUCCAACUCGAUCAUUCUUGUCAUUUCCGUUCAAUUACAUCGAUAGCUUUGGAAACCCUAGCAAAACACAGAAUGAAUAUUUUUUUUUCUAUUAAAAAAUAAUUCUUUGCAUUAUUUUCUGAGAUACUUUUGACAGUCGAUUUUGACUCAUCUAUUCACAAUUAUAUAUAUUAUAAAAAAAAAAUCUGAAUUAUAUAUAGAUGCAUAAGUUCAUCAUAUUGUACUUUGCUUGGACGAGGACAGCACUCUGUUAUAUUGCAUAUAUCCCAAGUUAAUUAUCCUACUCAUCAACGAAAUUAUACUUCUCUAUAUUGUUCUUAGAGCAGUCGUAAAUGGAGUCGCAGGCAUGUUUUCCCAAAUGUAUAGUCACGAGUCACGACUGUUCUUUCUCCUAGUUUUAAACUUAACUGUUUCACCUCAUGGAUUCAACUCAUUCAAGUAAUUGAUAAUUUGACAUAAAUAAAGUUAUAUAUACACAAUUGUCUUCCCGUAUAUAGCUAGUUUCUUGAAAUUUCCAAUAUGUGACUAUAGCAUUGAGACGUUUAACCCAUCGCUCUCUCUAGCAGUUGCUUGGCCUUUGUAGACAUGUCUCUACAUGCAGGUGCGUUGGUUUGUUCUUGCAUUUUUUUUGUUUUCUCUUAUAUAUUCUAACAUUUCAUCUUGGUAAAUUUUUUAAUCGCAGCGGGUAUGCAUGUUUGGUUCCCUUUCUAUGUAGUGAAAGACUGAAAGCAAUGGAUUUCAGACUUCAAUGUAGAGCAGACAUGGAUCUCUUUCCUAAACAAGAGUUUAGAAAAAUAAUGGAAAAAAAAAUACAAGAGGAAGUACUUUUCUACUAUACUAUUUUUUUUAAAACUUUUUAUUAAUAACUCACACACCUUACAUAUAUCAGUGAGAUUUGAACCCAUGACCUCAAAGUUGUCAAUUUAACAUCUUAACCAACCAAGCCACGGCUCACCGACAACUUUUCUACUAUACAUGUGUGUAUAACAUAUAUCAAGCCGUGAGCCGUAUGAUCGUCUUGAAUUUUAAAUUGCUAAAUGAUCGGACAACUCACAGCUUGAUGUAUGUCAUACAAAUGUGUAUAACAGCCAAACCCCAAGAGCAAACUUUGUAAUCUUGCCCAUUUGUUCUGCGUCCAUAGGCCUUUUCACUAGUAGUUAUUGACAAAGUCACAAAACCAUAGUUGGUGUAUUUUUUUUUUUCAAUCAAAAACGUAAAAGGUGAAUGUAGUGAUAAACUUUUGUAUCUUACAUUUAUCAUAUGGUUUCACAGCACUUUCAUCAUUUCGUGCAAAUUCGAUAGAAAUUAUAAACUCUACGUACAUAUGAGCGUAGAAAAUAAAGUUACAAUUCAUUUAAAAUUUGCAUUAAACAUUGUCGCAUUUUCUAUCGAACAUGCAAAACAAUUGUCGAUAACAAAGCUACAAAUGCAUCUACACAUGUUUUUUCUUUUAUUAAAUCCCUCAAUUCACCCCUCUUAUAUAUAUUAAGUGAUAUUUGAACUCAUAAUAUCUGUUAAGCUAGCUAACCAACAGAUUACGACUCACCAAAAACUCUUAAGUAGUCUACUAGUCUUACGACACGAAACUUCCUUUUGGCCCUAAAAUGGUUAUGUCACCCCCGUCCUCCGUUACAACAACCUUAGCCCAUAGAAAGCCUCAUUAAUCAUGCAAACCUUACGUCACCUCCAUCCUACACUCACACAAUUACCUCCUUUGCCACCCCGACUUUCAACUCUCAAUUGUUUAUUGGACGGCCAAGGGCAUUCGGCGAUGCAGACAAAAGUUCACAAAACUCUAAAUCAUAGGGUCAAAACAGUAAAAACACCAGCAAAAGACCUCUAUAUAUUAGAGUAUUAGACACCCGGGUCCGAUAUCGAAACCAACCGUAAAAAGCCAUGUCUAUGUUGGCACCGAGCUCAGACGUAUAGCCGAGCCCGAACCAAACUAUAAGAUCCCCCGUAUUAUUAUAUAUAUAGCAAAAUUAAAAUAUUUCAAGGACUCUCUAGGAGAGACCAAGCACCUUAUUUAUAGCGAUCUCUUUUUUUUGAUACGUAUUUAUAGCGAUCUCUGGGGGCUUUAAACCCCAGUGGAGGCACAGCUAGCCCUCUCUUGUUUCUCUAAACUCAAAGGCUAGCUAGAAACAACAAUCCCAAGAGACAAAAACCAAGUUUGCAAUGGCGUUCAGUGGUGUUUCAAUGUGCGGCCAAGAACAGCUGGACUUGUCUAGAGACGGCAGCCACUACAGCCUCUCCACCGGAAUACUGCCCUCUCUCGGCGCUAGGUCUAGUAACCGGAGAGUCAAGCUCGGCCGGUUUAUAGUCUCGCCGUACGACCGGCGUUACAGGUACGCCUUUGUUUUCAAUCCGAACACUUACGUCGAGAAAGGAAUCCAUUUAUAUUUGGUUUGUUAUUAAGUAUUUUUCUAUGUAGUAAUAUAUUUCAAGGUUGGCUGCAUAAUUGGUUUGACUACACUAGUUUACUGGGAUUAAUUUUUAAUGGUUUCCUCUUCUUCUGGGUUUGUGUUUUCGGAGAAGAACGGCAUUGAAAACUCGGUGACCGUUUUGCAUGCUUUCGUGGUUAUACUGAAAGCGUUACAACUGGUGUUUCGUUUUUCUGUGGUCAUAUUUGUCUUCUUCUUUUCGUUUUGUUGGAGUUACAGUCUCUUUGUUACUCUGCGUUCUUGUUGAUUCUUCUUCCAUUGUUAUCGUUUUCCGGCGAGGAAAGACGACGUUGAAUCUUGAGGGUUGCCUUUUUCAGUGAUCAAAAUUCAAAAGGAUUCAUUUGUUUCUGCUUUUGCCUUUUGCAGAUUUUAAUUUAUUUUUCUUUAAAGGUGUACGUGUUAAUGCUCUGUGAUAAACGUACGUGGUGCUUAAUAAAAAGCAUUUCACUGUAAAAUUCUAGGGGUCAAAAGUUUCAUUCUUGCAUUUCUUUGGAUUCAGGGUUUGCUUUUCAUAUGAGAUUCCAGGUCUGUGACUGCUAUUCCAAACUGAAACUGACAUAUCGAAUUUGGCACUUAUAUGACAUUCUGAUUUCUUGUUUGGCUUCGAAAUAAAAGAAAAGGGUUUUUCAAGUCAGAGGUGGAGGCCUCAAAUCACUCUUUUUGACUUGAAUGGAAAGCAAUCAGCUCGGUUUCAUUUGUUGAUUUCUUGGCAAAUUCUGAAUUAGAUGCAAAAGGAAACGAAGUCAAGUUUCGUUUCGGCUUGUCAGCGAACCAUGACAUGAUGAUUUGAAUUCUGCAUUAGUUAACACCUGUACCUAUGUUCUGUGAGUAAAAUGGAAGUCUCUUAUUGCUAAAAUCGGCUCAGAUUGAAUUGUUUCUUGCAGGAUUUGGGAGACAUUUCUUGUUGUUCUGGUCAUCUACACUGCUUGGGUCUCCCCCUUCGAAUUUGGCUUUCUUAAGAAACCACAAGGACCCCUCGCCAUUAUUGACAACAUUGUCAAUGGCUUCUUUGCUAUAGAUAUUGUUCUUACAUUCUUUGUGGCUUACCUGGAUAAGGCUACAUAUCUACUUGUUGACGAUCAAAAGCAGAUUGCUUGGAAGUACGCAAGUACUUGGUUGAUCUUUGAUGUCAUUUCCACAAUUCCUUCUGAACUUGCUAGGAAGAUCUCCCCUAAACCUUUCAGGUCUUAUGGCUUUUUCAACAUGCUCCGGCUUUGGCGUCUUAGAAGAGUUAGUGCUCUAUUUUCCAGGUACAGGGUUUUCUUAAAUGUAUCUGCGGAUUGGAAAGUGCAUAUUUCCUGUGUACUAAUUGUGCAUGAUUCUGUUUUAACAGAUUGGAGAAAGAUAGGAACUAUAACUACUUUUGGGUUCGUUGUGCAAAGCUUAUUUGUGUAAGUAAUUCUGAUGGUUUUGGGGUUGUUAUACUGAAGAAAUUGCAAUUCUUAUGCAGUGCCAUCUUAAUGGGAUUCGGAUGAUCUUUCUGUAGGUCACCCUUUUUGCGGUUCACAGUGCUGGAUGCUUCUAUUACCUUCUUGCAGCGCGUUACCGCGACCCCAGUAACACCUGGAUUGGAAAAUCAAUGGAAGACUUUCUUCAUCAAAGUAUAUGGAUUCGAUACGUGACUUCAGUUUAUUGGUCUAUCACUACACUCACAACAGUUGGCUAUGGAGAUUUGCAUCCUGUCAAUACAAGGGAGAUGAUCUUUGACAUAUUCUACAUGCUUUUCAACCUUGGAUUGACAUCAUACUUGAUUGGAAAUAUGACCAACUUGGUUGUCCAUGGGACUAGUCGAACACGAAAAUUUGUUAGUAAACUCAAUUGCUUUCUUUUUAGAUUUGGUAGAAGAAAAUAAACAAAAUGUGAACUCACAGUUCAUCAUUUUUUCACAGAGGGAUACCAUACAAGCUGCCUCCAGUUUUGCACAGAGGAACCAACUGCCUGUUCGCCUGCAGGAUCAAAUGCUUGCUCAUUUGUGUCUGAAGUUCAGGACAGAUGCAGAGGGACUCCAGCAACAAGAGACUCUUGAUUCACUUCCUAAAGCCAUCCGCUCAAGUAUCUCACAUUAUCUGUUUUACUCUCUUGUCGAUAAGGUGUACUUGUUUCGUGGGGUUUCAAAUGACUUGCUUUUUCAGUUGGUAAGUUCAAACCGUUCUACAAAUUUCCAUUGAAUGCCCGUCUUACAGUGAACUUUUUAAUAUGUUCUGUUAGAUGUUCAGCUGAUUCUUCUUUUUUCCCUUCUCAAUCCAAAGGUCUCAGAGAUGAAAGCCGAGUACUUUCCUCCCAAAGAAGACAUAAUAUUGCAGAAUGAAGCACCUACAGAUUUCUACAUACUUGUAACUGGUGCUGCGGUAAUAAUUGAUCUUUUGUUUUCCUUUCAAUUUCACAGGCAUUAUUCGCUUUCCUGCUCAUUCUAUUAUAGUUUACUUUCUGAAUAAUGUACUUAUUGUUUGAAUUUCUUAACAGGAUUUAGUGGUACUCAAGAAUGGAGCUGAACAGGUAAACUCCAAUCUGAUCAUGAUGAACAUGUUUCUACCUUUUAAUAGAUUUGGCUUCCUUGAUGGUGAGGAGUCUGACUUUCUAUUUUAACUAAUUGCAGGUCAUUGGUGAGGCAAAAACUGGUGAUCUCAUUGGUGAAAUUGGGGUACUUUGUUAUAGGCCACAGCUCUUUACAGUAAGGACCAAAAGAUUGAGUCAGCUACUCCGGCUCAACAGAACCAAAUUUUUAAGCAUAGUGCAAGCUAAUGUUGGAGAUGGAACUAUAAUAAUGAAUAACCUCCUCGAGGUUUGUUAACAUGAUAUAACCUCUUAAAAUUUCCUUGGUUUAUAUUUUGAAAGGAUUUUGACAUGCUACACUUUCUCAAUGGGGCAGCGUUUGAAAGAGACGUCCAAGGAUCCAUAUAUGGAGGGAGUUUUGUUGGAGACUGAGAACAUGCUAGCUCGUGGUAGAUUGGAUCUACCUCUCAGUCUAUGCUUUGCAGCAAUGAGAGGAGAUGACUUGCUGUUGCAUCAGUUGUUGAGACGGGGUUUGGAUCCGAAUGAAUCCGACAACAAUGGAAGAACAGCUCUGGUAUGUGAAAUCUUCUGCUACUGAUUUUACUUUUUCUUACUACGCAAUAUUCUGAAUAUGAUUUUCUAACAUUAGCUUUCACAUUUACUGUGUAAAACCAGCAUAUAGCUGCAUCCCAAGGAAGUGAGAACUGUGUGCUUCUACUAUUGGACUAUGGAGCACUUCCUAACAGUAGAGGUAAGACCAAGGGCUAUUAUAGUUAAGUUAAACCAUCAUUAUUGACUUCAUCAGUAAGAAGGUUGAUCAUAUUAUAUGCAUUUGGUUUAAUAAAUUCAUAUAUUAAACACAAGAGAUGUUAUCAAUUUAGAGAACUUUGCCUUGUAGUGAACUAGUCCAGUUUGUGGACUUGGGAUGUUGCUUGCAUCAGUUGCAUGGUUUUUUUUUUUAAGAGUCCAAUAAGAUACAUAAUUUAAAACUAUUUCAUUGGUAUGAAAUUCCAGAACAGAUUCAGUUUUUCUUAGUCAUGUUGCAGGCUUGCAGCUGUGAUUAUUCAUACAUUUCUUUUAGUGCAUUUUCUUAUUGUGUGUGGGAUCCAAGUCCCAAGUGUUGACCAUUGGGAAUUGGCCUAACUUGAUUACCUGAUUUUGUUCCCUUCUCAUACAUGACUCUAGUUUUUCUUUCCCUUAAGAGUAAGUUAGCAUAUCAUGUCUGUUGAGUGUUGACUUUCCUAAUCAGACUACCAACUAUAUCACUCAAUUAUUUGCUUCAUUAUGUUAAUUUUAUUAUAGUAUACUAGAUCAUAGUCGUCAUCAUCAUAUAUGUUAGAAAAACCAGUUGACUUGAUAACAUGAUCCAAAAACAGCUUCUUCAUGCCUUUUAAUACACAUGAGUGCGCGGGAGGCAUGCAUCUGUGCCUCACUUCUUGCUUGGUUAGUAAUAUAAAGCCUGUUUGAGUCUCCUGGGGAUCUGGCAUGGUUAUCUCAUCCCAGUUUAUUUAGUAUUAUCUUAAGAUGGAAUCCCCCGUCCUCUAUAUUUUAUCACAACAUGCAAGCAAGAUUGCAAGGAUGAAAGAUACAUCUUCAUAGGGAAAGCUUUCAUGUUACUUCUUGAUUGUGAUUCAAUCUCGUGGUUGUGCAAAUAGAUCUUUGUGUAAGAACUAAGCUUUGUGACAUGAUUUUCCUACACUGCCGACUUAUAAGUUGUUAAUUCGUAUUGUUUAGGGUGAAAUAAGUCGAUGCAUAAUGCCUUCUGUUGUUGAAAGAGUUGCUUAUCUAUGUUGACCACAUGAAAUCGAUUGCAAUGCUAACAUGAACUGAUGAACAUGUAAUGUUUCCACUUGCUGGAGAUUGAACAAAGAACUUAACUGUGUUCUAUGAUUUACAGACUCGGAGGGAAAUGUACCACUGUGGGAGGCGAUACAGAAGGAUCAUGAAACGAUUGCGAAAUUGCUCGUAGACAAUGGUGCAACUUUGAAUGCUGGGGAUGUUGGUCAUUUCGCUUGCAUUGCUACUGAGGAAAACAGGUUGGACUUGCUCAAAGAAAUAGUUCGACAUGGAGGUGAUGUCACAACUCCUAGAGGCAAUGGAACCACGGCUCUCCAUGUCGCAGUGUCCGAAGACAACAUUGAAAUUGUGAAAUUCCUUGUGGAAAAGGGGGCUGAUAUCGACAAGCCAGACCUCCAUGGCUGGACUGCAAGAACUCUAGCUGACCAGCAAGGACAUGAAGAGAUAAAAAGCCUUUUUCAAUCGAGAAAAGAGACCAAAGAUCAAUCUGUUAUAAGCAUUCCUACUGAGCAAAAGACUGGAAUUCGCUUCCUUGGGAGAUUUACAAGUGAGCCAAACAUCCAUCCUGCCUCCCAGGAAGGCUCAUUUAUAGUACCAGAUGGGGGAUCAUUGGGUCGAAGCCGCCCAAGGCGUAGGACUAACAACUUUCAUAACUCACUUUUCGGGAUGAUGUCAGCUGCACACACAGGGGAGAAGGAUUUGUUCUUCUCUGUCAGGAAAACCACCGAAACCACUCCUAAGGGUACUGGGAAUAAUCCUAACCCUGCUAGAGUGACAAUUAGUUGCCCUGAAAAGGGUGAAGUUUCAGGGAAACUUGUAUUACUUCCUGACAGUUUUGAGGAGUUACUGGAGGUUGGUGCCAAGAAAUUUGGUCUCACUCCGGCUAAAGUUCUGUGCAAAGAUGGAGGAGCUGAAAUCGACGAUAUAGAGGUGAUUAGAGACGGUGAUCAUCUUAUUUUUGUCAGUGGCCAAGAUGAAUCAGAACCUCAAGAAUGUAAUGGAGAAGAUACUCCAACUAAAAAAGAUGUGUAGUACAUGCAUAGGAAGUCCAUAUUUGAAUCUCUCUUCCUACGCUUGGAUGUGCAAAAACCAUUCUUACAGCAAAUGUACGUAGUUUUGUCCCAAGAGAAAACUUCUUGGCGACAAUCACCCCAGUAAAGUCGUUGUACUAAUCUGAACUCUUUACCGACAACAUAUUCCACGACGGUUGUUUUAGAGGUGUCAUGGUCAGCCCAAAUGUACCAUUGCCACGGGCUUGGCAACACUGCUCAACUGAAGUUGUGUAAAGUGUAAAUAUCUCCAACUUUGUUCCUGCUACGAAAUUACAUUUCAGAUGAUACACUAUAAUGUACAACUAUGUAAAAAUUAAAGCAGUAGAACGAGCUACGCCUCAAAAUUGUACAACUAGUUUGAGGCUUGAAUAUCAUUUUCCAGAUUUUGACGAGACCAACACAAUUUACAGCCUUGCGGUUACUAUAGGACACUUCUCUCCCAAAAACGUCAUUUAUGACCACUGUUGGUCAGUUUCCUAGAGCAGGAUGACAUUUUAAUGAAUACAAGUGAGACUAUCCUUUCCCUUGUAUGCUCCUUUAUAAUGUUUUUUUUUUUUGGAGAGAUGUUCCUUUAUAAUGUUACUCUUACCAAGCAUAAGUAUACAUCAGGGAUGUCAAAUUCUGAUACAUUAAACACUCGAAAGGCAAUUUGAAACUCCUCGUCUAUCACUACAGUAACUUGAGCAUUUUCAGACGCUCUUCAUGUUCAGGAUCCAACUUUGGUGGGGUAUAACAACCAUGAAGAUCCUCCACUACGUACUCCUGCAAAACGUUGAAAUUAUAAGAACUCUUCGUUUUCUGAAUGAUACAUUAUCCAAAAUAGUUUUCAGAUUAUAAGAAUAUACUUCUAAGUUCAUGGAAAACUAAUCACUGUGUGCAACUAACCUUUGUGAGUUCCUUUUUGGUCAGGAUAUGGUAAUGUCUCUGCCAGAUUCUCUGAAUAGCCAUAGUAGCAGCCAGGAAACCAUAAGCUAUGCCAAGAAUAGCAAAGAUGACAACAAAAACAAUAACCAGGGCAAAGCAUGCCUCCAUAGACGCAGGGAAACAAUCCAAUAUUCCCCAUCCAUAACAACAGUUCUGGCAGCCAGCCAUCCGUGGGUCAUUGCUAUUGAAAGAUGAACAGUGUACUAUAAGCCCAAAAAAUCCAAGCAGCACAAAAAAGGCAAUGACACCUGGUAACAAGUGCAUAAAGCAGCAAUUCAGUACAAGUCAAUAGCUGCAAGAGAUUAAGAACAAAUGCAAAAUCAUAACCCUUCUCAUACAAAACUACUAGAAACAGAACCUUGACACUGCUGAUGAGUAAUACAGCUGACAAUUAGCUUCCACAGAUUCGAGUAUUAAUAAGGAUGAAAUGCAAAAGGAAGAGAAGUGCUUGUGCAUGAGAGGGUUUGCCAUAAGCAUUAGGUGGCAGUAGCACAAAGAAUCAUGGACAUUAAGGUCUUGAGAACACAGUUAUUGUUAAUAGUACUCAGCAAUAUCCAAAAUAUUACUUCAAACACAGGGGUUGUUGUAUGCGUAUGGAAAGAAACUAAUAUCAUGAUUGUUUCUUGUCAGAAACCCCUACUUCCCCUCAAGAUCUACCAGUCUGCCACUUAUGAUGCAGAAUAUGAAGUAUAACAAUUUCCUUUAAUAUGAUUAUUUCUGAUAAAUAAGCAUUUAGAACAUAAACAACUCAACCCUGAUUGGUUAAUUAGAUACUAGAGACUUGUGAGCUCCACAUUAUUGACACAUUUCAAUGAAGCAAGGAAAACUACACCACAUUAUUUUUAAACAACAGUUUUUAGGUGUAAGAGUUUACCUAUGCAAUAGUAAAAUGGUAUAGGGUGCUUUGACAAGAUACGAUCCCAACCAUCACUGAACGAAUUCCUGAAGCCACCAUCUUUGUCCAUCAGAUAUGCAAAGCCACCAAUUGCGGCAAUUACCUGGAAAGUAAAGAAGAAUGCUUAUCGUAAGAAUCUUGACAGUAUAUGGAAGUAAUAGAUUGAUACAAUCCAGUAUAAACCAUUUCAUGUAACAUAAUGCAAAAGACUAUCACUUACUGUUUGUACAGCCACAAAUACAAGUAUAACAUCCCUUGCCACAAAAAUUCUGAAUUUCAUUUUACGCCAAGUGUUGUCCUCAUACGAUUCAACUCGAAGAUGAAAUUGGGCUUUGCAAGUGGUGCAGUGCGAGAAAGCAAAUCCUUCCUAGAAAGAGAAAAGGCGAAGUUCCGGGGGAAUUAAGUUCAGGCAAUUACAACAUUGAAUUGCCAGUGACAAAAGAGUCACAAAAUGACAUACUCUAAAGAGAAAGGUUAUUUACCUUAACCGAGCGCCAGUGAUCAAGACAGGAUAUGUGCACAAACUGCUGGGUGCCUUUGCACAAGCACGGCGAUAUCAACUCAUCACCUGUAAAAUUACAAAGGUCGAAAGUAAGCAAUAAAACCUUUGCAUCUGCCUACGAAGCAACGAGUGCUAGAGAUACACAUAACCAUUAACCACAGUAUACAUGAAACUUCUAUUCAACCCUGAAUUCAGCUAAACUUAAUACCUACAAAGAAUCUUAUAUCCAACAAACAUAUAAAACAUAACCAGAAUCACACUCAUUUCUGCCCUUAUAUCUUCGGAUACAACACGAUGUAAUGUUUCACCAACAAAACAAACACAAUAACAGCAUGAUCAGACCAAAAUGCCACAUCUUUAAAACCCGAAAAAUUCAACCUGCAUCGGAAUCGCUUUCGAGGCAAAUGCGACAACAAGCAACAGAGGAGCCAUUCUCAAUGUCUUCAUUUCUAAUCUCACUGGAGCUCGCCGGAGCCGACGACUCGUCGUCGUCGUCGUGGCUGCUCUGUAGCAGAGGGUCCAAGUCACUAGGAUCAUUCGGUUCCCGUUCCCCUACUACUACUGGUUCCAGCUGCACUUCCCGAUUCAUUGAUCAAACCCUAAAAUAAACCCCCAAAAUCACCGAUCAAAAACCUUCAAAUUAUACAGAAAUUUCUCACAGAACAAAAUUGAAUUUGAAAAUUGAAUGAUCAAUUAAACUUGAUUUUUGUUUUAAUUUCAGAAAUUAAAAAAAGUAGUACCUGGAGUUGUGCAGAGAAACGAUGAAUGGAGAAAAUCGGAGACAGGAGAAUUGAGGAAGACGAAGAUUGAGAAAAGAGCGAUACUUCCUAUACGACGUGCCGUCCGCGCCUUUGUUAAUCAUUGGCAUAUUUUACUAUAUUGGGCAAGUAGGAUGGGCCUUAUUGUUGGAGGAUGUUGGGCCUCUCGACCCAACUCGGUCUCCUGGUAUCCCGCCAAAACUCCUACUCGAGUCAGGAAAACGACGUCUUAAGCUCAGAAUGGCCUCCAAUCCAUAAAACGAAGUUUCUCAUAGCUAUGGCCAAACCAGCUCAGUAUGCCACGUCGUUUAUAACACGUCACUAAUUAAUGAUUUCUCUAAUCGUGAUCUUGAGCAUUCUUAAUUUAGAUCGGUCACAUUCAUGAAUUACAUUCUUAAUUUAGUUUCUUACUCGAGUCAUAAUUAGUCUACCUGAAUUUGUAUCGUAAAUCUUAUCUGAAUCUAUAUCCUACAAUUUAUUCUUUAUGAUUUACUUAUGAUUCUAUGUCCUUUUCUAUAUUCUAUAUCCUAUUUAUAUAUAUUCUUUUUGAAAUUUUUGAGAAGAGAAGCUUGUCGAGGGAGAUUUCUUGAGUUGAUUGCAAGCUUAAUUAAACGAUAAUAAUAUACAGAAAAGGUUCGUUGGAUUCAAUGAAAGGUGGUGAUAUCCCAAAAGAAUUGUUAGUUGAAAUCCUUUGUCGACUGCCGAGCGCUGAAGCUGCUUGUCAAUGUAAGCUUGUUUCAAAGAGUUGGUGCACUCUCAUAUCGAAGCCUUACUUCAUUGGACGCUUUCUGUGGAUCCAAAGAGCGAGAAAAGCAAACCGCAGUGCUUGGUACUAUAAUAAACGAAUUUGGGGAUGCACUCCUUGCCACAGAACUGACAGAAGUAGUGUUCAGUGUUCACGGCCCAGGAGGCCAGGAGGGUGUGGUUUUCAAGUUUUGACAUGUUUUCCAAUAUAGGGUAGCAUAUAUAUUGAGCUCAAUAUGAUUCAAAAUAACGCUAAAACAGUGUUUUGUAUCUGCUUUUUUAUUCAUUACAGAUUGAGAAUUUAGCAUUUGAUGAAAUGAUUCCUGGCAUAUGUCUCUGCCAUCUACUCAUGCAUGCCCUUCUCCUAGUUCUAUUUCAAUUACACAUCUGCAGCUGCCCUCUAGCAUUACAGAAAUCCUCAGAUGGUUCCAGUAUUCACAAGCACAAAUUGAAGCAGGGCAAGGACGUGUUGAAUACGGCGGACCAUAUAUACUAGUCUGGGGUGACUCUGGUCCCUUUGCUAUAUGGAAUGCCUCUAAAGUCUAAAGUCAUGGCCUGAGUCUUUGGCCUUUAUGACUGCUUCCUACUACUCACUUUCAACGGACCCAUGCAUGCCUAUAAUUUCUACGUUCCCAGUUCAAUUCCAGACAUGAUUGAUUUCUCUACUGCAACAGCAUGGACGUCGACAUUGACACAGACAUUAUUGGAUAUUAAUUCGUGCCUCAUUUCAAAUCCUGGAAAUAAGCUCAUGAAAAAGCUCGAGCUCUAUAACCUUCCUAUAUAUUUUCCAAGAUGAAUAUAUAAUCUCAACCAUGUGCUGAUCAUCAUACUAAAGAAUAAUAAUCUCUCAACCAACUCGAUUAUGAUAUAUUACGCAAAUUAAUAUCGAAUUUGAAUUAUUUGUUAAUAUUAAAGAGUUUGAACAUCAACGUUUCAUGAGUUUGAAUUCUAUAUAUGAUUACCAAACAUAAGUUGACCAGAAGCUUCCAAGGAGGCUGAGGCAGUAUCCAGGUAACUUCAGUUCGUGAAGGCCUAUGAAAAGUAUAUAUCAUACAACUAGAGUGCACGCAUCUAUUUGUAUACACGAAAAUAUGAAAAUGACAUAAUCUGCUUCUUCGUUGAAGAUAAAAAUUCUCUAUCUGUAGAUUAAUAAACGUACAAGUGCCAAUUCCAAAAGCAUUUCUAGAAUGUGUAAUUACAUAUUACAUUGACAAGAAAAAAAACUAACACAUUUUCACCGCGCGCCAUGGAUCGGCUCCAGCUAGCUGUCUUCUGUUGAUGAAUAUAUGAUACACAGUCCAAACCCAAUAAAUCACACCCUGCAUACAAUACAUAUAUAUGAAAAAAUCGAAUAUUUGAUCAUAUUAGGUGAAACUCAAUGAAGGUGAGGUGAUCAAUCAAUUAAAUUAGCUUACUGUUGGAACUCAAUGUUGACGGAAGUAGCCGAUGAGUUGGCAAUAGCAGCGAAAGCCGUCUGCGACAACACCAUGGUGGUGCCGGCCGCAGAAGGCUGUGAAGUAACGCUGGCAGCAUACUCCACAAUCCUGAUCUGAAUGGUCUUGUCCGGAACACACGUCCCCGUUUGAGCUGCGCUAAUGCAUCUCACCAAGUACUGCCUCCCACAUGACGCUCCGUUGUCCCAUAUUCCAUCUCCGGCCGCCGCAAACAAGUUACUUGACGGAAACUGUGACGAGUCGCUUCCAUAACAGUCGGUGGCUAAAAGGGAACAAUAUUUGUGAUAAGGGUAAUGUCCAUAAGAACAUAAAUGGUUCACAUGAAGAUGGGUAAAGAUGUAACUUACGUAAAUAUGGGGGAGCAUACUGAGCAGCAGUGCCAACGUCGGCGUUUGAUGUUUGGAAAAGCUGUGGAAAUAAGAGCACGAGGAGUAAUGAAAGGUAAGGCAGAUAUUGUGGAUGAGUUGUGAUCAUCUUUUUCUCUGCAGAAAAGGGUGUUUGAGAUUUGGAAGAUAAGCUCUGGGAUGCAAGGAGAUUUUUGUAUUCUAUAUUAUUCCAAGUCAACGAAAAUUGGGUAUCAUUUUUAUCUAGAAUUGACGGCUAGGCCAACUCAUAACGCGGGUUCGGCAGUUAAACGUAAGCCACAUGGUAUGAACUCUAUCUAGAACUCAUCUAACACGUUUACUUUUUGUUUCUGGUGUGUCGUAGACUACUGUAAUAUUCGACUCAUAAUAGACUAAUUGUUACAUAAACGAGUAGACUAUUGUAAUGUUCGACUCACAAUAGACUAAUUGUUACAUAAACGAGUUGGUAUCCGUUACCUAAGCAAGAAAGGUCUGAAAAUCUAGAUCAGAUGAUCUAAUCAAUGAAUUGAUAACCAUUACUUAAGCAGGAAAGGUCUGAAGAUCUAGAUAAGAUGAUCUAAUUCGGUGAGGGGAUUGGAGUAUAGCUACGUCAUGCUUUGCUUCCUAUGAGGGUCACAGUUAUAUAAUUACAAUAUAAACUGCAAAAUUCAAUGAUCCUCCACCGAAUAAAUAUGACUUUUGCAGUUCAUAAUUCAAUGCCUUCUCCAUUCAUGAUCCAACUAACCAGAUCACAUUUGACAUUUUCCAAUGAUUGCGGUAUCCAGAAGUUCACCAGAGGAGGAAAGUGAAUUUGAAGCUUAAUAUGGUGUAGACAUACACAAGUCUAAACACUGAAAUUUGUACCAAAAGGAUCCCAAACAAACAAAGGAGCUUUGGUGCGUUUACAACAGUUAAAAAACGCAGAGUAAAGCAGUAAUAAGCGUCCGCGUAAGAACAUCUCACUUCCACAGCUUGCGCAGGGACAUGUUCUUCUCAGUCUCCUUCUUCAUAACCUUGGCAACUGCCAUCUCAAAGUCUUCUUGGGUUACAUGCACUCUCCUCUCCCUCAGUGCAAACAUUCCUGCUUCAGUACAUACAGCCUGCGAGAAGGAAAACAAGAUAACAUGGUUAGAUCUUAUAUGUCCAGACAAAAUACCAACUUCCUAAUGACUCCCCCAGUAAGAAGAAAACACAACAUUACCUUCAACUCAGCACCAGAUGCGCCAUUCAUUUUCUCGGCAAUCUUCUUCAGGUCUAUUCCACGCAUUAAAUUCAUUCUUCUUGAAUGGAUUUUCAGGAUGUCCCAACGAGACUCUUCGUUAGGGUUGGGAAAUUCAAUUUUCCUGUCUAUGCGUCCUGGCCUCAGCAGGGCUUGAUCCAAAAUAUCAAUACGAUUUGUAGCCAUCAAAACCUGAGAUAUAAUGGUGGUGGUUAGAAUGAAGGAUAAAAUUUAGAAAGGUGAAUGUCAUAAUUUUCGAAAGCCACAUGAUGCAUCGUGUACCUUGAUUUUGUUUGAGGCCUCAAAUCCAUCCAGUUGAUUAAGAAGCUCAAGCAUAGUCCGCUGCACCUCACUGUCACCAUUGCCACUGCCAGAUUCCAUACGAGCAGAUCCAAUACUAUCGAUUUCAUCCAUAAAGAUGAUAGAUGGAGCAUGUUCCCUGUAUGAAUGUAGAAGUAAAAAAGUGAGAAAACGGUAGAUGAUAUAAUGUGAAGAAUGUUAAGGGCUGAAGAGCAGCAAAUUAUUAAUUGAUUAAAGAUCCUAUCCACAAAUCAUCUUAAAGAAAGGUUGUUAUAUUUAUUUUAGAAUGGGUCUGAGUAAAUGGCCAUUCUUGAUUCUUCUUUGUGGGGCAGCAACGGACAUAGACGUAGAGAAACAUCCCUAAUUCUAUCCAGAUCAGCAUAGAUUGAUCAUACUAGGAGUACUAUACAAUACAAAUUGCAAUAGAAAGCUUAUUCAACAAAUUAGAGCCCCAUUAUAAAACUCUAGGAUCUACUGUAGUUCAUUUAAAAAGCAAACAGAAUUCAGAAACCAAGCAGCAUUAUUCACAUGCCAACAAUGCAAACAUAUGGAAGAGUAGGAUGAUUAACAAUAGAUCAACACAAACCUGGCCAUGACGAAAAGUUCUCUAACCAUUCGGGAACCUUCCCCAAUGUAUUUCUGAACCAACUCUGAACCAGAGACCCUGAUGAAAGUACAGUCGGUAUGAUGAGCCACAGCCCUAGCCAACAAGGUUUUUCCAGUGCCGGGGGGACCAUAAAGCAGGACUCCCUGUUGAAUCAAACAAAGAGUGCCAUAGGAUUAGUGACUACGGGUAAGCAAAUAAUAAAAAAAAACCAAUAAAUUGAAAACGUAAUUAUACCUUUGGCUGAGCUAUUCCAAGACUUUCGAACAAUUCAGGAUGUUUAAUUGGAAGUUCAAUGACCUGCAAAAAUGAACAUAUAUCAUUUAGACAAGUUGAAGAAUGUCCUGAGUAUUAUCACAUAGAGACAAGCCACACUCGACAAAUACAGCUAGCAGAGAAUCUAAAUUCAAGCCAAAUUUGAAACACGGACUGACGUUGACCAGUGAAUCUUCUUCCUCAAGAAGGAUACAAUCUUAUCACCUACUAGAAGAGCUCUUAGUUAUCUAAGUAAUGUAACAUCUAUAAGAAGAUAAGUAACAGUUGGAAUAUGAAAACAACUUAAUCCUUCUAAUAACAUAUAAACCAAAAUGCAGUUCAAAGAAAAGAAAAUAAGUCAAAGUUGAACUCUGGAAGAGAGAUGCUGUCAAGAUAUUGAUGCAUAUGGGAUUGUGGAUUAAAUGAAAAGAGGGGGGAGAAGAAUAAGAAAGAUAAAGGCAAAACUGAAAAGGGUAUGCCUGCAAGUUAUGUUUAAUCUGAUCUUUUAUAUUCAUCCAGACAAUUUUUGUAAGAAUGAAGACAUGACAAGUAAUUAGAUAUAUGAGUUUAGCUUAUACCAUGAGACCUAUACAGGUAGAUAACCGGAAAUGAAAGCCAGGUGGCAUAACAGUACAAAAGUAAUACAACAAAAACGCAAACUAAAAUAGACACAAGUAUCGUGCAAAGAAUCUAAAUUCAAGAGUAAGAAUGUGCAGAAGAAAACCUCUUUGAUUUCUUUAAUCUGCUGAUCCAGACCACCAAUCAUAUCAUAUGUAGAAUCUGGAACCUUCUCCACUUUCAUCAGAUUGACAAGAGGAUCAACUUUGCUUGGCAGUACUAAAUGAAGAACAUAGCUGUCAUUGCGGAGAGCCACACGUGUAGAUGGUGUGAUCUUUGUAAUAUCAAUGUUCUUAUCGAUAUCAACCACAUAUUUCCCUUCCGGAUGAACCUGAAAACAAAGCAGGUCAAAAAUUUGUCAGAUGUUGUUAUCGACUUGCAGACAGAAUGUUAACUAUUUCACUGUUUGUUAAAACACACAGCCACUUACCUUAACCAAAACCUUGUUCUUUCCCAUGACGUUGACAACCUCACCGACAUAGGACCCAGGCUCCUGAAGAAGCUGCAGUUCUUCCCUGAGCAUUCUCACUGUUCAAAACACAUAAACAAUCAAUCCAAUAACUCAGUUAAGUAACACACUAACAUACCAAAUUAAGCAAAAUCUAUAUAACCAAAGAUCCCAAAAGGUACAACAUCUUCUAGAAUAAUUCUAGUGCACUUGUUUACUCAUCUUGUUCACCAAGAUUUACACUUUACCCCGAAAUCAAAUAUUUGCCCUAAUUUUAUCCCAACAGAAAGCAGAAGCCAGCACCUUUUCACAUUCAAUCAACAAUUGCUAAGAACCCCAUCAAACUAUAUCAGCUAGCCCUAAACCCAAACCAAACUAAACCUAAAAUUACCCUAAAUUGAGAACCCAGUACCAAUCGGAACAAACCCUAACCAGUCCAAUUGAAAUUCCUAUAACCAAUAACCAGUUACUAGGGUUAGGGAUUCGAAAAAUUGAAUUCCCAAUUGGAAUUAGAGCCUCACCUCUGGAAUUGAGCUCGUUACGCUGAGCCUCGAGUCGAUUGAGAUUGUGGGUCUUCUGGCGGACCUGGAGCUGGAGCUCGUGAAUGUGUUGGAGGUAGUACGGCCGGAGCCCAUCGCCGAGUUUGGAGGCGGCGAGCUUGGACGAGCAGGUCUCCUCCGGCACGGCAUCGAUGGGCUUGGUCUCGGCGGCGACUGCAGCCAUCGUGAUCAAGCAAAGCCCUAAACUUUGGAAUCGGAAUUUGUGAGAUUGGCGAUUUGGGGGUGUGAGGAGUUUGAGAGAAGAGAGAUGUCGUGUGUGUCGUUUUGAGUUGGAAAACAAAGGUGAGGGGAGGUGUGUUUUAUUUAUGGGGGAGGGUUUCUUUUUGGUUAAGUUAGCUUUGUAAGGGUAGGAGAUGGAUUAGAGGAUAAUGGGCACAUAUUAGGAAUUACUGCAAAUUUUAGGAUUUCUGUUCUUUUGUUUAAAUUGAAUUGCUAUUUUCUUAAGGAAGUUGCAAACAUGGAAUCCUUGUUGUGAGAUUAGUUAUUGGGGGGACAAUAAAAAUGAUAAUAUUUCAAAGGAAAAUACUUGUGUCCGGACUAGUAUAUACGUGCGUGUCCGGACUCUCUGUUAUUUACACACUUUUGGUAAUGUAAAUCAUAAUCUUAAGUGUUCAAAAAUUUGAUUAACUAAUAAAUAUCAUCUCUGUAAAAUAUCAGUGUAAAAAAAAUCGUUUGCUUAGCCGAAUGAAUCAAAUAAAUUGACGGCUAAUCAUGAGGCUGUUAACUUUCACCAUAAGUAUUCAUUUGUUUAAUACAAUCGGGUGAGCAAACGAAUUUUGUUUACAUUAAUUUUUCACAGAGAUAAUCUUUAUUGGUUAAUCCAACUUUCGAACUGUUAAAAUUAUGAUUUACAUUGUCGAAAGUAUGUAAAUAACAGAGAAUCCGGAUGUACACGUACAUACUAGUCCACAAGUAUUUUUCUAUUUCAAAUUAGUGACACUCAAGAGACGAGGGAGAUUACUAGUUGACGAGGUUUAAGGUGAUAGUUUCAUGUGUCUCAUCUUAGAUUUCGACUAAGUUUCAUUAUUAUUCUCAAUGUUCACAGCUUUUAAAUUGCAUAUAGCUUUAAUAUGUGAAUCAUACACAUUUUCUAGUGUGUCGAUUGGUGAACAACACUCUUACAGAUUUCAUUAAAGAAUCGUUGCUCAUUUCAUUAUAGAAUAACAUGUAUCACUUCUCUUUGAAUCAUUUCGACUGUCGGCAUAAGUUUCAUUCUUUUUACAUGCUUCACAAUAAUAGUAUGAACAAGUAGACAAUUUAAGAGACCUGAACUGAAGGAGUUUGGGCUGCAUUGGACUACCUAAGAAAGCCCAUUGUUCAAUAGAAGGAAGGCCCAAGAGUGGAGCCUAUAUAAUUGAGAGCAUUGCCAAACAUGGUCUUUGCGCCUAGCCCUCUGUGUGAGUCUGUUCCUCUUUUUAACAUUUUUCUUUUAGAUUUCCAAAUUAGGUUUUCUCCUCUCUCUCUGUAAUUUCUCCUCACUAUUAGAUUUUGAUUCCACCAUUGUUGUUUUGAGGGUUAGGAGGUGUGGAUUUGUGUUUCAAACUCCUUAUUGAUAUUUCGUCUUCCCACCUGUUUCCAAAUACCGCCAAAUUUUUCUAUCUCCGCAUAAAAAAAUCCCCAAAUUGAGAAGAACAAAAGCUUUGAUUUUUAGGGCAAUCUAACACAAUUAGGGUUAGGGUUUCAAUCUCAUAAGUACAGAUCACGAAAAAGAAAGCAUCUUUUUUUAGUUUUUGUUUUUGGGCUUUCGAUUAGAUAUGGAGAAGAAGAAGGUGGCUGUGCCUCUGGUUUGCCACGGCCAUUCCCGGCCGGUGGUGGAUCUGUUUUACAGUCCGGUCACUCCCGAUGGCUUCUUCCUCAUCAGUGCCAGCAAGGGUAUGUGUUCCGAUAUCGAAAGAUUCGAUCUUUUUUCGUGUGUUUGGAUUGAAUUACAUGCUUUGGGUGGUUCUAUUUUACUCUGUACAAUGCUGCGUAUAUGUAUAUGUGUAUGAUUGGGGUUUUGUUUCGUGAUAACUUAUGUAGAUUGGUUUGAAAUCGUAAUGGAGGGAUGUUUUGACUAGUCUUUGUGAUAGUAAGUUAUGGUAGAUUAAGUAAACUUGCAAUGGGAUAUGUUCUUAGGAUAUAUAGUCCAGCUGAAAGGAAAUGUUUUGGAUCAGUGGUUUCAUGUCACGUUUAGAAACCUUAGAGCUACUAGAAGUUGAACAUUUAUUGCACUAUCAGUGUACUCAACAGUAGUGAUUUUGGGAUAUUGACGAAUAAGGUGUAUUGAGUAUAUGAGGUGUUAAGAUCAUUGUUGUGUUGUUGCUCUUUAAUGGGUUGCGAUUGGAAAUCUUCUUUAAUCUGUGUAAGUUAUUUAGAUAGCGAACUGAUAUAGAAGUUUUUGAUGCUUGUGUUGUUAGAUUCUAGUCCCAUGCUGAGAAAUGGUGAGACUGGAGAUUGGAUUGGAACCUUCGAAGGACAUAAGGGUGCAGUCUGGAGCUGCUGUUUGGAUACUAAUGCCCUAAGGGCUGCCACCGCUUCCGCAGAUUUCUCUGCGUAUGGAUUUAUCUUUUGAUUUCCCAGAUUUCUCUGCGAGUUGAAAAUGAAAACCUUAAUUCUGUUUCUUAAGUAUGUUAUUUUUGCAUGCAGUAAAGUUUGGGAUGCGUUAACAGGAGAUGUUCUACACUCUUUUGAACAUAAGCACAUUGUUCGAGCAUGUGCGUUUUCAGAGGUAAGCUCCUGUUCUUGACCUAACAGCUCUGUAGAAGUGAAAUAAACUUACAGAGUAAUCAUACAAACUGUGCUCUUUCCAUUUUCUGUAGUGUUAUCUGCUUGAAAUGUCAUGCUAAAUGUGAUAAUGUUGAAUAUUAUGUGUAAUCGACUGUGUUAAAUUCAUUUGGAGUAGCUAUCUGCCUACCUCUAAUUUGAAAAUGAUUUCCUAGUGGUUUAUGUGCUAUAUUAAGAGGGAUUCUAAUAUAGUGGUAGACUUUGAAUAUUUCUUUGGGGCUUAGUUGUUUGUUACACAUCAGCCACUAAAGUUCAUGAUAAUAUUUUGAAUCCAUCAUAGUUGGUGCAGGUUUUAAUUUCAACAGUAUAUGAGAUUUUAUGCUGGAGUUCUCCUAUAUGCCAUGCCUUUUCUUAUUUUCUUGUAUCAUAAUUCUAUUCUCUUGAUUUGGUAAUAGGAUACACACCUUUUGUUAACUGGAGGAGUAGAGAAAGUUAUCCGUAUAUACGACUUGAACAGACCAGAUGCCCCUCCAAGAGAAGUGGACAAAUCCCCUGGUUCAGUUAGAACUGCUGCAUGGCUCCACAGUGAUCAGACCAUAUUAAGUUCUUGCACUGAUAUGGGCGGUGUCAGGUAUACAUUUAUAUGAAAAUAAUUGAUGUUAUGAGGACUCAAUUGUUCUAUAUUAAGUUGCACAUAUUUCGUACUAUAAAGUGACGGGUAGUGAUUGACUGAUUGGUGAAUGUGCAGAUUGUGGGAUGUAAGAACUGGGAAAAUAGUUCAAACACUUGAUACCAAGUCAUCUGUAACAAGCUCUGAAGUCAGUCAAGAUGGUCGAUACAUCACCACUGCUGAUGGGUCUACAGUCAAGUUCUGGGAUGCAAAUUAGUAAGUUAUGAGUUAGAAUGUUCAGUAUUUUUCAGAGUUUCUGCUCAGUUAGCUUAUGCCUUUUACUUGCUUUCAGCUUUGGGUUGGUGAAGAGCUACAACAUGCCUUGCACAGUAGAAUCAGUGUCCCUGGAACCCAAGUUUGGGAAUAAGUUCAUUGCUGGUGGAGAAGACAUGUGGGUUCAUGUUUUCGAUUUCCAUACUGGUGAUGAGAUCGGUAAGUAAACUAUAACAAAAUACUUUUCUUAUUGAAUCUUCUUUGGGGUGGAUGUUGUGUGUUAAUGUCCUUGGAUUUUAUGCUGUAUUUCCAAUGCUGAAUCUUUACUCAAGCUAUUGUAUCUUGAUGCAGCCUGCAACAAGGGUCACCACGGUCCAGUGCACUGCGUUCGAUUUUCUCCAGGAGGAGAGUCCUACGCCUCUGGGUCCGAAGACGGCACCAUCCGAAUAUGGCAGACAGGCCCUUUGACUAAUGAAGAAAGUGAGGCGCAGGCAGCAAAUGGAGCUAUCGGAAAGGUGAAGCCACCCGUGGAAGAGGUCUCUCGAAAGAUUGAGGGCUUCCAAAUCUCCGACGAGGGCAAGUCCAAAGAGAAGGAAGAGGCACCGUCAGCAGCCACAGCAUCGGUGAAUGUGUGACUUUGUUCAGAGUGUCUGUCCAGAGAGUGUAUUAGCCGUUGCCCGGCACAAGUUCAGAUCUAUUCCUGGUUAAAGUACUACUUGGGUUACAUAGACAGAUGGAAACAAAUUUUUUGUACAACUUUCACUUCUGCAUUGUCGAGAUAUAUAGACUAUGUUCUUGUUACUGCUUGUUCAGACUACCUUAUAAAUGGAACUUUUCAGCUUCUUCUGGUUUAUAUUUCCUUCUAAGAAUAUGGAUCAUAACAUAUCAACAUAGCCUAAAAAUCAAUCCUUAAUUCCUAACUAGCUGACAAAGGAAGAGCAGAAUGCCAUGCUUGAAAUUAGGAUUGUAGUCUCAUUUGUGACAAUCCUAUGUGUUCAUAAUUUAAAGUUGGGCAAAUGUCAAUUUAGUACUAAUUUUAAUCAUUCAUUGUCAAAGUUGGGCAAAUGUCAAUUUAGUACUAUUCCAACGACAAUAUGUUUUAUGAGCCUAUUUGAAACCUUUUUAUGCUUAAAUAGUCAAAUUUUUAUUAAAGUCUAUUAGACUAUUUUAACAAAUUAUAUUAUUUUGAGACUAUAUUACUUCCACCGCUUAAACAUGCAUUGAGAGAAAAGACUUCACCGGAACCUCAGACUUUGGCAACUGGCCACCAGACUCCUGUCAUCGGAAUUUCUCCGGUCACCGGUAACUUGGUUACUAACCCCAGUAACUUGAUUACUGAUCCCCAAUAACUCAUAUAUUUCCCAGUCGCCGGAUUUCGGUCAUCGUAACUCGGUUACUGACCCCUAAUAAUUAGUUAGUGACGGCCUUGAACUAUUACAAUGUCACAAGUGGUUUUUUAGUAUCUUCUAAUACCUCAAUUACCAAUUAUCUUAAAAAUAAAAUCGUUUACAUCCCACCAAACUGGGAAACAUGGAAGAAGAAAUUUAUGUCCAUAGCCACUAGCUUUGUGAUAUCACACACUACAAUCACGUAUAUAUACCCACAAAAUGAGCUUCGCAUUGGGAUAUUGUCACCUACAUGUUGUGACUUGUGACUUGUGUGGAACUGUUUCGGCAUGACCACUUCCCUCUUUCAUACCCUGCCUUCUACUUUGGAUACCAUCAUAAGGCGAAACCAAAAAUUUUAAUCGAAGGGAGCUAAUGUUAGCUUGUGCUGUCAAGUUCAUCAUUUCAUAUAAAGCUUAAUUUUCUACAACCAUGACUUCGAUGACUCUAACUCUAUGAAUGUGUAGCUGUUUUAAUUUUUAUAUAUUUGUAUUUUGAAGAGAUAAUUAGCUGUUUUUGAAAGCUAUACUAUGGAGAUUGUGAGGUCGCUGCAACCAAUUUUCUGGGCAAAAGGUUCUUAAACUGCCUUUCCGCUUCAAGUCAUUUAGGCCAUUUGCUGAGGUGCACUUAUUCUAAACUAAUACUAUAUUAAUCAUUGGAGCUCAGUUUAAAUUCAUUAGAAUGUAUAUGGCUCUCUUUGUAAACCAAACAUUCACAAGUAACAAUUUUACGAUCAACAUUGUCAUGUGGUGGUUCAGGUCAAUAACAACACUGACAUGAGACUCGUACUAGAAGAUGGAUGGAUCGGCUUCAUUCUCAAUUUUCAUGCCAUAUACAUGCAAAUGCAUUUUAAGGUUGUUAGCCAUAGCUAGUACUGCACUACAAUAAUUGAUAUAGCUACCUGAUAACAGCAAAGCCACUGUGGAAUACAUCGUGUUUCCAAUUGGGUCAGAUUAUCAGUCACUACUGAACACGUUUAAUUUGCAUCUUUCGCCCAUUUCCUCACCAAUUCAGGAGACUUGACUUGUUUACAUCGUUUUGAGAAAUUAAAAUGUUUCUCACGCUCGCACAUAAAACAAGAUUCAUGUCAUAUCGAUUUACUGUAGGAGAUGAAUAUCAAAUAGUCGAUGGAUUCAUUGAACUAUUUGACGACUCGAUUUUCAUGACACAUAUAUGCAUGUGGCGGUCGCUAGUACUUGUACCUUUCUUGGUCUGGCUUAUUGAGCUCUUGUAGACAUUUUACUAUAAAUACCAAAGAAACGGAAGCAUUUCAACUCAUACUACUACCCAGCCACUUAAUCAAACCUCUCAUAUAAUUUAGCCACAUUGAACUAUGUCUCUCACCUCCGUCAUUUUAGCUUCCCAAUCCCCUCAAACCCUGAAUAAUGCCGAUACUCGACGUUCGGCUAAAUACCAUCCCAGUAUUUGGGGAGAUCGGUUUCUGUCUUAUAACAACACUAUGGUUUGUACAUCCUCGACAUUUAGCAUACAUCUGUUACAUUUUGUUAUCUGCAUGUCUGAGCCUUAUCGAUGUAUGUAUUAAUUUGUUUCUUUAACUGGCUUGUAUGUAGGAAACUAACAUGCAAGGUAAGCAACAAGUAAUCCAACAACUGAAGGAAGAAGUGAAGAGGAUGCUGAUGGCUCCGCCGGUUGAAACUGGUUUGGGAAAACUGGAGUUGAUUGAUGACAUUCAACGCUUAGGCGUGUCUUACCACUUCGAAUACGAGAUUGACCAAACUAUGCAGCAAAUUCACGAAAACCUUAAUGGCACCUAUGAUGAUGAUGACUUGCACACUUGUGCUCUUCGUUUUCGCUUGCUAAGGCAGCAUGGUUAUAAUGUUUCUUGUGGUAAUUGAGAUCUCGACAAUCCUAUUCAUUCAUUUUAUUUUGUUUUAAAUAAGGCUAAUUUUGAUGCAUUGGCAUAUGAAUAAUUAAGCAGAUAUGUUCAACAAGUUCAAAGAUUGUGAUGGGAAAUUCGACGAAUCGCUUCACCACGAUGUAGCAGGACUCCAAAGCUUGUACGAAGCCACACAUCUUAGGGUGCGAGGAGAGGAUUUUCUAGAAGAAGCACUAGCCUUCACAACCACACAUCUACAGUCGGCAGCAAAUCGUUUGAGCCCCCCGCUUUCGAAACAAGUAAGGCAUGCCUUGAAUCAGCCACUUCGGAAGGGCUUACCGAGGCUAGAAGCGAGGCACUACAUGUCUCUUCACCAGGAACUGCAUGGAUCACGUAACCAUGUUUUGCUGAGAUUUGCAAAGCUGGAUUUCAACCUGCUCCAACAAGUGCAUCAGAAAGAACUAAGUGAUAUUGCAAGGUUGAUACUAUCUGUUACCACACACAUUAGAUAGGCACCAGACAUGAAAAUUAACGUUACAUUUUUUCUCCAAUUAAUUAGAUAAAUAUGUGUGAUCAUCACUAAUUAUGUGAUUCAUCAGGUGGUGGAAGAAGUUGGACUUUGCUAGCAAGCUUCCUUUUGCAAGAGACAGAGUGAUUGAGUGCUACUUCUGGAUUUUGGGUGUCUACUUUGAACCCAAGUAUUACUUUGCUAGGAGAACCCUUACCAAAGUUAUUGCCAUGACAUCCAUUAUUGAUGACAUUUACGAUGUGUAUGGCACUCUUGAAGAACUAGAUCUCUUUACUAGAGCAAUUGAGAGGUUUGAAAUUGAUAUAUAUUUUUCUUCCCUUAUAUUAUAUUCUCAAUUUAUUCCGGACUUAAGCUUCACCACUUACCAUCGCCGUUCGUCUUCUUAUUUGCAGAUGGGACAUCUCAGCCAUGGAUGUACUGCCGGAGUAUAUGAAAUUCUGUUACGAGGCACUCUUAGAUGUUUAUGCUGAAGCAGAACAGGGGCUUGCAAGCGAGGGAAAAUCAUACCGUAUCGAUUAUGCAAAAGAAGCGGUAAUUAGUUAAUUAAGCCUCAAUUUUGCGUUUAGUAUUGUGAUUCCAAAGGUCGUUGAAGGUUAAGUAACAGUUGAUUUGCUGCAUAUAUGUCAUAGAUGAAGAGACAAGUUAGGGCAUACCAUGCUGAAGCCAAAUGGUUCCACAACAACUACACACCAACAAUGGACGAAUACAUGGAAGUAGCCCUCGUCACUUCAGCCUACUCAAUGCUAGCAACCACAUCCUUUGUUGGAAUGGGAGAUAUUGUUACUAAAGACUCUUUCGAGUGGAUCUUCAGUGACCCUAAGAUGGUAAAGGCUUCAGCAGUAGUUUGCAGACUCAUGGAUGACAUUGUAUCCCACAAGGUACUUGAAUUUGCUGCAGUAGAAAUUAUAUAUCUUAAAACACUUCCUUAGCUAAUUCUGACCUUAAUGUUCUUGGCAUGGCUAUACAGUUUGAGCAAAAGAGAGGACAUGUUGCUUCGGCCGUGGAAUGCUACAUGAUACAAUACGGUGCGACAGAAGAAGAAACCAUAAUCGAAUUUCGAAAACAAGUGAGUGAUGCAUGGAAGGACAUAAAUGAAGAGUGCCUCCACCCUACCUCUGUCAACAUGCCUCUCUUGAUGCGAGUUCUGAAUCUCACACGCGUGAUAGAUGUACUGUACAAGUCUGAAGAUGGCUACACUCAUGCUGGAACCAUACUCAAAGAUUUUGUAGCAUCUCUACUGGUAGAUCCUGUGACUGUAUAAGUGAAAACUGGGAACCUUUGUUUUAGUUCUUACAAGAUGUUUGAACUUAGUAUUGGAGUUGCAGGAGUGUAAUGUCAAAAGCAAUCCUUGUAAUCCCAACCUUUGUACGUUGGGAUCUAAUAUGUGGGUCUUAUUUUUUCAGUUGCAACUUUGAUAGUUCAUCUAAUAACGGAAAAGAAAUUCAAAGUCAUUUUGAUAAAGUAGUCUGGGGUUCACAUCCAAAACCAAUUGGCCAUGGGUGGAGUGGCCUAAACCCUUAUAAAUUCACAGGCAAGGUCCCAUAUUCCCGAUGUGGGAUUCAUAUCUCAACACAUUUUCUUUGAAUACGAACCUUUGACUUUGACAGAACAAUACGAACUCGAGCUUGUCCACGCUGAAAUCCUCCGUUGUCCACCUGCAAAACUCAAGUUAUUUUUCAUGUGUGGACUUAUUGUUGUCAGCAUGUACUUUUUCUGAGUUGGUCUUGAUUAAGUUCAUUUGGAAAUGGAAAAAUAGAAUAAGAGAUUCCGUGUAAGCAUAAGAGCUUAUGGACCACCAAAGCAUACUAGGAUAUGUAGUAAUUGGUUUUGAAUAAGAACUUAACAAGUGAGAAUAGAUAUGGAUAUGGAUCUUAGUAAAUAAACUAGACAAUAGAUCCAGCCGCGCCCUGCUGUGAUUCAAUAAUUCGAUUACUUCGGUCACUGGUUCAUAAAGAGUUCAUUCGAAAUUGUGUUUACUUUUGUUUACCUUUCCUAUACAAAUUUCAUCUACUGAUAUCCGUAGGAAAAACAGACUUGUUAGAAUCUAAAAUUAAGAUUCUCAAAAUGACUGGAGAGACUGUACCACAUGUCAAUGAAAUAAACAACUCAAAUCUCAUCAAAACCAUUUAAAUCAAGGCCAUGUUAGUCUCUUAAAAAAGAAUUUGAUCACUUGUCUUGCUAUUUGUUUAUAUGUUGAAGCAAAAUUUACGAUUAAGUUACGAAUGCUUAUCUAAGACCCUAAAACAUGGUUACUGCCAACACAAACUAACAUAUUCAAAAGAGCAUAUCAAAUGGUAGCUGCACAUUAGAAUUUGAGGGCUGAUCUACUUGUAAAUUUCAGUUCACUAAGUAUUCAAAUCCCUAGUAUUUUGGAAAAAUGCAUCUGAAAAGCCAAGAAUAAAAACCUAUCAAAAAACUUGAUAGAAGGAGAGGGCAAUGACCUCAAAAUAAGGGUAGAAUCCCACUCUCACCAUUGACUGAACUCUUGGGAUAGUAGAUUCUCACUGAGCUUUCUACUUUGUGACUGCUACUCCAUAUUCAACCUCCAUUCUGCAAAUUCAUGAGCGACUUUCAUAUGUUCUUGCUGCAGAGAAUAAUUGAGUUUAUAGUUAAAAUCAGAGUGACCAAGAAGUCGAUAAGGACAACAUAAUAAUUUUCUAAUGAAAAAAGGAUGUUUACCUUAGCAUUUUACUCUCAGAGGGAUCCUUUUCCUCCAUAAUUUGGAGAAGACCUUGCCACCAAACCAGCUCAGUUGCCAUUAGCUACAGUAACAGAAUCACAUUCCAAUGCUCCCAAUUCUAAGCAGAUGUUAAUGGAUAAAAGCAGUCGUCCACCAGCACUGACAAACAUGCAUACAAAUAGAAUAAGGGCAAGAAAAAAAAAGUCAAACAGCGAAUUCCAGCCAUCACAUUCUUAAACUCCCUUUUAACAAAAUGACCACCUUUUCCCCUCAAUCAAUACCUAAGACCAAAAUCAUGUAAUUUUCUACGGUAUGUGAUACCACCACAAAACAUAAAUCUAAAUACCUUGAUGUCAAUAUAAGCUACUGUUCAAUAAAUGAGGCUGCAGCUGCCAACCGAAAUAGAACCAACCACACAGCAAGUAGCAUACCAACAAAUACUACAAUCACAGGCACACAAAUUAAAAAUUCAUAAAACAUAAAUAUCCUUUAGGUAACCAAACAUGAAAUACAAAUGUCACAAAACAGAGAUUUAGGAUCAUUGCCAGAAACAAAAAUCAUGUAAAAAACAAUCACAGAACACAACUUGCAGACAGAAUACCAACACAUACAACAGAUGGAUCGCAUCUUUUAGGAUCCUCAACAUGUAUAACCCAAUUUAUCAUUACCCAGAAACAAAAAGCGUCACUGCACCGUACCACCACAACAGUUAAUAGCUACAAAAACCUUUAGGUUCUAAUAAGCCAAUUUUGUUCUCAAUAGACAAUUAGAACAUGACGUCGCUAUGCUUCCAUAGUUCCAAAUGCAUAAAGUAUGCCAGGAGAACAUCCCAACUUGAAUUUUGUGGCCACAAAAUUUAGCGAAGAGAAAAAACUGCUAGCUUUCUAUAUACACACACACAACAUCAGGUUAUGCAUAUAAUCGCUUGCCAAUCAAAAAUUGUAGAAGAAAUUUUGCUAAAAUUGUAAGGAGGUGUGUAUGCCUUAGUAUAAUAAGGAACCCGACACACUUGACCAUAAAGCAUAAGCUCACAUCAGAUUCCAGAAACGCAAACAAUCCAUUGACAGAACAAUUGUUAUAUAAAUGUACAAAGAUAUCACCCACUGCUGAAAAGAUAACAACUGAACUUUGGUAUUAUAUUCAAUAUUUGAAUGUACUGGCAACUUCACAUGCAUCCCAUCUCUUUUCAUUUCAUUGUUAACCUUUAAUUUCCUACAAACCAUGAAACCAUAACGAAAGCAUGGAUGGUAGCAAAAUAACUUAUUGAUGAGCACCGAAGAUCAGAUGCUCACCACGAUUUAUCUAGCUUAUCGAAGAAGUACAAACCUUCCAGAUCAGUAAUACACACAUAGAAGAAUAACUCCACAAAAUUUCAAGUCAAAACGGAUUCUUACAUCCUAAUCAAACUCGAGUUCAAAACAGCAACACUGCAUAACAUAGACACAAUUUCAGCAUAGAGCACUCAACUUCAGAAAAUCACUACAAAGCGCCUACCCUAUCAAAUAGUAUCAAACUUUCUAGAUCAAGAGUUCACAUAUGGAAGAAAAAGAGUACAAAGUUUCAGAGCAAAUGGAGUCCUAAAUCUUGAUCAAAAUCAGACUCAAAAACAGCUGCACACAUAACACGAAUACAAUUUCAAACAUGUGAACAAAGUACAAUGAAGAAAGAUGUAUACACUGUUCCUUGUCCAACCCAUUUUGCCCCGCAGCAUAAUAGGAAAGCCAUGUGCAGUACUUUUUAGUUUGGAUAAGUUUAUGCCACACAUCAUAAUCCUUUUAUUUUAAGGAUCCUCUUCAUCGAUGUAGAAUCAUGUAUCAAUUCAAUCCAAUUCGAUCAAUUCAAUCUUAUUAGUGUUUAACAUGCAUCCACAUCCACAUCAAAGCCAAAAAUUGAAACCUUGAAAUGAAUAAUGAACCCCUCCUCUUCAUUGAUGUAGAAUCGUUGAGCUUCUGAAGCUCAUAACCUGCAAAAUCACCUUGUUCUUGUUGCCAAACCCAAAUUAAUUUUCAUCAGUCCCUCUCUAUCAGUAAGACACCGUAGUGGAAAGAAAAACAGUCGCACAGUGCGACGAAAAAUAGUAUGUUAAAUCCUCAUUGGACUAAUUGGAUAUGGUCAACUUAACCUUUUGGAUCAGAAUACAAAUAGAACACAAAAACCAUGGGUCGGUGGUAUUGUAAAUUGAAAGAAAAUAGAGGGGUAUAUAAGUCAAAGUGGGGGUGAAUAAGUACCCAAUGUAUCUAACCAUCCAUCCAUCCAAACCAUUAUUUUUUCUCUCUCUAAAAAUAUCUGGUUUUCUCUCUCUAGAGAGGUCUCUGUAAAUCGUCUGAAUCAAAAAGAUCAAAUCUUUGGGUUUAGUUUUUUUUUUUUUUUUCGCGGGAAGAGAUGUCAGGUAAAGGCGCCAAGGGUUUGAUUCAUGGCAAAGGAGCCAGCAACAGCAAAGAUAAGGACAAGAAGAAACCCACCUCCCGAUCCUCACGAGCUGGCCUUCAGGUGAUUACCUUUGCUUCUUUGUUCUUGUUUUUUCUUGAUUUUGGGAUUUUAGGGUUUCGAAUUUGAUUGUUGAGGUUGAGUUUGGGGGGUUUAAUUUGGUAAAGAUUGGAACUUUUUUUGGUUUUGGUAUUGGGUUUUGGUUUGUUUUGGUGAUGAGAAAGCGAAUUAGAAUACCCACAUGGGUUUGGGAACUUAAAAGAUUUAGUUUUUACGGAUGAAUAAUAGUUGUUGAAUUGAGAGUUGAUUUGGAUCGUUUUGGAAGGGCAUGAUUUUGUGUUUUUUCCUUAAACCAUGUUUGUUAGGAGAACCAUAAUCCGAUUGAAGAGUUUGAACUUGAUAGAGAUUUGAUAGAUAGAUACAUUGGAGGGGUGAAUUUUGAAGUUUGAAGUGUCUCGCUCCUCUGGAACAUGCUCUAUUCUAGAUUGUUGUUUACAUUAUGAAUUUUCAGGGUAUAACUGUUUCGAUAAGAUUGUGGAUGUCUAGAAGACUAGAAUAGACUAUGCUUGCUCUAUGUGUCUUGGUAAACAUGAUUGAGUCUUCCUACUCAUAGUAAACAGUUUAAAGUUUCUAAAAGUCCUACCUGAAUCUGUUAGAGAAGUACCAGCUAUACAAUAGAAAUAAUUUCGGUAUAUGAUGUUGAUUACAUAAGUUGUUGGAAUGAUGAUAAACCUACUUAUUUAUAUGAUGUUAGAGACGGAGGAUCCUAAUUAGAUACCUGCAAUCUCCCAAUUAUUAACUUUCAUGAAUAGACUCUCUAGUGGUGAGGGAACGAAGGGUUUGAAUGUAAGAAAGUAGAAACUUCUUAAGACUUUCAUUUAAAAACAUAGCUUCAGCCGUAUGUUAUGAACUUCCAAAGUGUUUCUCUGUCUCACUUUUUGUCCAUUAUUUUCAAGUCAGUUUAUGGACUAUACUAGAGUUGUUGAAUUUCUGCCAUCUACUAAUUCUGUGGUGACAAAUUUCUAGUUCCCGGUGGGUCGUAUCCACCGUCUCCUGAAGCAAAGGACCACAGCUAAUGGGAGAGUGGGAGCGACUGCUGCAGUUUAUUCUGCAGCUAUCUUGGAGUAUCUAACUGCUGAAGUUUUAGAGUUGGCAGGCAAUGCCAGCAAAGAUCUGAAGGUGAAGCGUAUCACUCCCAGGCAUUUGCAGCUUGCAAUCCGUGGUGACGAAGAACUUGAUACUCUGAUAAAAGGUACCAUUGCUGGUGGAGGUGUCAUCCCUCACAUUCACAAGUCACUUAUCAACAAGUCCACCAAGGAGUAAUGAUGAGGGCCAAAAUUCUAUGAGGAGACUCUCCUUUGUGACUUAGGAUCAUGUGUUUUAGUAAUUCGUUAUUUUGCUAGUUAAUUUUCAUGUCUGAUAGUAUUUGUAAUGGAUAAUGGGAUCAGAAACUCUUCUUUUUUAUUAUUAAUCUAGGCUUACUCUAGGAACCCUGUCAUAAUGUCGUAUUGCAUCCCUGGUAUUAAAGGCGUGUUUGAGCUACAAUUGUUGUUUUUCUACCAUUCUAUUUUACAUGAAUUCAGUUGAUGAUGGCAUAACUGCUCUCAAUCGAAGAUGCGGUUCUUUUUAUGCUGCAAGGUGAAAGGUCUAUCUUCAUGUUAUUGACAUAUGUUUACUCGAGUAGUUUCCAUGAAUCAUCAACAGCAGUCAUUUGUGAAAGAAGAUGGGAACAGGUUUUAGUUCCAACAACCUAUUAAAGAUCUGAAAGGCGCGAAUUCAAUUGAAUACUCAUAAAUCCAUGUCCUUCUCAAUAUUCACUGCACAUUCCUCUUAAUCAAUACAGAUAAACAACCAUUAGCAUUAGUAAAUAAGUGAAAAAUUUCCUGCACUCCAACCUAAAACCACCAAAUAAUCUGCGCUAGAAGCAAUGAAAGUCCUUCCUAGAACCUUAAACAUGGAAAAGAACGAAAACCAAUUCUAAACUUCUCAUUAAGAAAAAAUAUCUAGCAAAAGCCACCAAAAUGGUAGUGGCGUAAGAAUGGGGACGACCAACUUAGAAAUUUAGAAGGUUGUCACUCUUGGAACAUCAACUGGGAACUGAUCAAUUUCAGCCAUCCACGGGCUCUUUUCCUUGGCAGGAUCUAUAGUCUUGAGAGCUUUCCACACAGCACUGUUACACUUGAAUCCCGACCCGAAAGCUAUCUGCCAUGUUCUAUCUCCUUUCUUAAUCCUUCCCUUUGCUUCUGUGUAAGCUAACUCAUACCAGAGAGAACUGCUUGAGGUGUUUCCAAAUCGGUAUAGUGUCAUCCUUGAUGGCUCCAUAUGCCAAUCAGACAGAUGCAGGUUCUUCUCCAAUUCAUCCAAGACGGCUCUUCCCCCAGCAUGAAUGCAGAAAUGGUCAAAAGCAAGUCUGAAAUCUGGGAUGUAAGGUUUGAUCUUCAUCUUGAACAGUUUCCUACCCACCAAUGUAGCAAAGAAAAGCAGCUGCUCGGACAUUGGAAGAACAAGAGGCCCCAGUGUGGUGAUAUUGGUCUUCAAAGCAUCACCUGCUACAGCCAUCAGGUCCUUCGAUAGUGUGACACCAAUAUGCCCAGCAUCAUCUUCUUCUUGAGUAACACAGCUAAAGCACUUGUCAUCAGCACCCUUGUGCGUGCGGACAGUAUGGACUAAUUGGUACUUGGACCUCCUUCUGUCUGAGUUUUUGUUUGAAAGAAGUAUAGCAGCCCCUCCCAUCCGGAAUAAGCAAUUUGAAACAAGCUUUGAACGAUCAUUGCCAAAGUACCAGUUCAAUGUAAUGUUCUCCAUGCUGAUAACCAGCGCAUAAGAGUUAGGAUGCACCUGAAGAAGCUUUUGAGCAAGAUCAAUUGAGAUGAGCCCCGCGCUACAUCCCAUUCCACCAAGAUUGUAGCUGACUAUAUUCCCUCGAAGCUGGUAAUGAUUGAUAACCAUGGCAGAAAGAGAUGGAGUUGGAUUGAACAAGCUGCAGUUGACAAUCAAGAUUCCGAUGUCCUUGGGUUUUACAGAUGUCUUGGCAAAUAGCUCGUCAAUGGCACCAUACAUCACUGCCUCAGCUUCUUUCCUGGCUUCUUUCAUUGACGGAUUUGGGGGAAUGUUAAGUACAGCCUCUGGAAGGUAUGUUGAAUCACCAAGGCCGGAUCUCUCAAGGAUCCUUCUCUGGAACUGUAGAUUCUCUUCUGUGAAUGUACCAGUCAUCGUAGACUGAUCCAUGAAAAUCUUUUUCGUGCAUUUUCGAGUUUCUUCUGGCUUGUAACAAGAAAAGUUAACAAGGUACACAGGGCGAGGGCGGGUAAGAAAGUAUACAGUGGAUAGGAACACCAGGAGGGUCGAGCAGAUGAUCACCGAAAUCAGGUUGUAUUGGAGAUGCUCCCAUAGAUCAUAUAGAUCUUGGAGCGAAAAUGUGGAGAGCUGGGCAGCAAUAACAAUGACAAGAGGGGAAAGGAAAAGGUACAUUCCAUGGGUGAUGAGAAUAUGGUAACCAAGCUUCACAUAUUUUAGCUUAAUGGAUUUUUUGAAGUCGGGGAGGUUCCUAUUGUUUGAGGGUCUAGAUGAUGGUGGGAUCAAUGGUGUAUCUGGUUUUGGUUCCGCCAUAUUUCCCUGAUAAACAUACAACACCUCUAAUCAGAUCAAAUGCACAACAAAAUCAUAAACCAAUGUAUUAAUAGAAAAUUAUAAUCACAGAAGAUGAACUACCAGAGACUAAAAAUUAAAUUAGUAAAGGGUGGUUUUCCAGAACAUAAAGGCAAAUUCCAAUAGCUUUUCAAUUGGCAUCCAACCAGAAAUGACUCUUGGAAAGCCAAUGGAGCUUUUCAAAAAAGAAGGUUGUCUAUUAUUUACAGCUACAUAUCACACUGAGAUAAUGAAAAGGCAGAAAGAACACCUAAUGGUCCCAAUCCAAGCACCAAUUCAAAAAUGGUGGAACAGAACAAAAGCUACACACUUUGAUCCUUACAAGUUGGAGCCAAAGUGCUAAACACAAUCCAAACACAACCCCAGAUCAGAUUUUUCCAAUAAAGAACACUUCUUUCCAAACAAAUCAGCAGAUUAACAAACAAUGUUACACAACCCUUAUAAACACUCACACAAAGAACCAAACUUUAUCACAGAAACCAUACAAAUUCACACAUCCAAGAACAGAUCAAACCUCCCAAGAUACAAAACAGAACGUUAUAGAAAAAAGCUGCAAGCUUUGAUAAUGAGGCAAAACCCAGAUCGAAGACUGACCUUGGUUGCCGAAACCCACCACCAGAUCUCACAGGAAUGUCGUCGUCGCCAGCCAAAGACAACCGGAGAGAAACAGGGCAAAAGGGAAUAUGGGAGAGGUUCAAAGUUUGAAGUGAGAUUAUAUUAGAGCUAAAAAUAGGGANNNNNNNNNNNNNNNNNNNNGGCAAAUGCAUUUGCAAUUUUGGGUUUUAGAUAUUUUCUUUCUUCUAUUUUGUGUGUGUUUUCAUUGCUUUUUUCUCAUUUAAGAGGUUGAGAAUAAAGAUGUAGGAAAUCAUUCUAGUGAAGACCCUUAAGUUGAGGAUUUGGUGAGGGCUUUUCGGUUUAUGGUUUAAAAUACCCAAUUUUCGAUCACAUGUUGACAUCUUAUCUGUUCAGUUUUUAGGUUUAUAUGAGUAGAUCAUUUCUACAAAUUUUCACCCAAAUUGGUGUUCAUUAAGAUAACAAACUAGAUCAAAUUAAUGGACGAACCAAAUCUGCCAAAUAUGAACCGUUCAAGUUCAUAAUUGAUAAAUCACACUUAUGAAUGUCUUAACAAUUUUCAAUAUAGCUGAAAAUUUGAAGAAAUGAUAUACUCAUAAAUACCUAUAAACUGAACGGUCAAUAUGUAGAUAUAAGAUCGAAAUGUGGGAUAAACCGAAAAGUCUUUACCAAGUCCUCAACUUAAGGGUCCUCACUAGAAGGGCUCCCUAAAGAUGUAUACCAAAAAGAUAUCAACUUCCAAGUCUGUGUACAUGAAUCAUGUGCCAAUAUUUGUGUGAUAUACAUCUUAUCGGGUUGCAUUAGCUUUCAAGGUCUCUAUGGAUUGUGAAUCGAAAUUUACUCUUAUACAGUUAGUUGUUAGAGUUUAUUGUCUCAUGAAAAUUGUAGCGUUCGAAAAGAUACCAUAAUUUCAUGUCUAGACCCGUUUGGAGAUUUACUACUAUGAAACUCGCAUUCAUCCAAAGUACAGAAAACUAAAAUUUAGAAAGAAAAAAAAAACACCCUCUAGCCUCUGGUUUAUAUGUGGAAAUAAUACCUCCAAUAUUCUUCCCUUUAAUUUUGCUUUUCAAAAUCAAGGUGACAAUACAAAUGGCAUGAUGAUUGGAAAAGAAAAUGUCAAAUUAUUCCCUCUUUGAAUAUGACAAGUGAGAUUGAAGAAGAGUAUAGUGAAAUACAACAAAAUCGAGCCGCCCAUUACAGUUAAGGAGCCGUCAAGAACAAAGCCAGAAGGCUUAUAUUAUAUUUGACUGGUAUACAAUUCAGUGAAUUGGUAAUGUUGUAUAGGGCAGGCAAUUUGAGGAGGGACCAAGCACGAGGUUGAUGACCAGUUGUUCACAUGGAUAUAAAGGUUACAACUCUGUCACUGUCCCUAUUGUCAGCUGCGCUGGCUCCACAUGCUAUGCUGUUCUUCAACUCAAUCCAUGAGCUAUAUCAUCUUCUAAUAACAGAAACAACAAACCAACUUCAACAAUGAAGAAAUUUCCAAGUCUGUCUGUUUAGCAAGAUUUGACAAACUGUUUUAUGAGGAAAUGGUGAGGGUGAGAUGGAAUCUGGGAGAGUUGAAAAGGAAAUGUUGCCAACAAAUUUAUCUUGUGGGGUUAAGUUGGCAUCAACCAUCAAGCAUAAUUCCACCUUUGAUCAAACUUGGUUAAAGAAAAGCAAACUCUAAUACAGGAAAAGAAAUCUUACAGUAGUAACUUGCUGUUGGAGAACAAUGAUAUGAGGGAAAGUUAGUUGAACAAUAGGCAAUGUUGAACAUGCUACUCCAAUGUGAAUUCCUCCAGCCAUAUCAGCACUUCAUUUCUCUAAAAUGCAGUCAGCACCAAAACAACACAAAAGAUCAACCGUUAGAGUGAAGAAAGCAAAAUUCGGUAGGAUUUGGCAAAAAGAGGACUAACAGUACAAAUAAAAGCUUAAUGAUCAAGAUUACUUGCUACUGGUUUUGCUUUGUCUAGAAGGCAGUAGAAGUAACAGCUACCAAGACUACUACAACUAGGGCUAGUAAUCAGGCCAAAGUCGAGUUCAACUUUUCUUGAAAGAGGGUUGCUUGCAGUACUCAUAGACCUUCAAUAUGUGAAAGGGUAGAUAUAUAUCUUGUAACUUAUUAGAUGAAGUUUCAACAGUUGAAAUUUUCUUAGUUGAGGUUUUCUUGAAAACAGGUUUUCUUGCAGUUAUUCCAGAGCUUCAAUGUCAAAGGUAGCUAGAUAUCUUCCAACUUCUUGGAUGAAGUUCCUAUAGUUGGAAUUUUCUUUGGUGAAGAAUUUUCCAUCUUGAAGUUUUCUUUGAUGAAGUUUUCUCCAUAUAUCAUAUAAAAUUAGAGAUAUAUAAGAACACAUUAUCAGACUGGUCACUGAUGUUACAUACCAUUAUAAAGCUCCAAGUUCGGCCAGGGUCAUUGUAACGAGCAAGCAUACACCCGGCCUUAGGUUUGAGACCAUCUCUGAUAAGACUAGCACGCAGCAAAUUCUCCUUUUCACGAACAACAUCUUCGGUAGGCUUCCCACUAAACUUGAUAACAGCAGCAAUGCCUUCUUCCAUUUUUUUCAAGCUAAUUGUUUCUGCAUUAGGAUCUGGUAAACUGGCCACAUCACAUUUUUCUUAUUAAUAUAUAACUCUUCACAAGGACAAAUGUAAGUACGAUAUAUAUCUAACAUCUAUUAAUUCUCCACCUGCUUAAAUCCUUGUCAAGUGGAAGACAUACUUUGAUGGAUACUUUGGAAAAUUCAGCAUCAGAUGCCUCAGUGAACACCGGAGUUGUCAUUGGUAUCUUUUCCAUUUUUGAGUUCUUUCCAAAGAUGUACCUAAGCAAAUCCCAUUUCCAUAUCACAAAAAGAAACAAAAUUUUUUUUUUUUAAAGAAAAUAUAUUUAUAGCACAUGAUUAGCUAAGCUGUAAUGCAAGCACUCACCCAGUAACAUCAUUGAAACCAGCUGAUCCAGACAGCUUGUCUGCACUUCCUUCUACCACUAUAAAAGGGGAGUACUUUCUUACCUGUAGAAUCAAUCCAGGAAUCACCAACAAAACAGUAAAACCAUCCAAUCAAAUAGAGUUACAGAAGAAAACAAAAACCUUCAAAUGUAAUGCAUUUCAUUCAUGAUUCAUCAACUUUAGAGAAUGAAGUCUAAAAGCCCAACUUUUAAUGAAUGCAACAUUAGCCAUUCACUAAGGAGAACACACCUCAUAAUUUGCUGUUCUCUUUAGUAUGUCAUAUUUUGGUGUUUCCAAGUCUGGAGUUUUGUAAAUCCUCAGCUGCAGGGUUUUACAUACAAGAAGAGACUAAGGCAAGAAAGAAUCUUUAUACAUGAUAAUGGAAAGUGUAUAAUGAGUCUGCCAAUACCUGCUUGAAUACAUCUAACAAACCUUCUACAGAAAAAUAGUCAUUCUUCUUAAUGGAAUCCCAGAAGUCCUACAUGUACAUUACAGCAGAUACAUGAACAAUUUUAGAAAUUACGCUGUAUCAUCUACAUUGUACUAUAAAGAGUCAUGAGGUGAAUGAUUGUUACCACAUGGCUGCAGAACUUCCCAGUUUCGGGGUUGAUUCCCAUAACAGAAGUACCAGUGAAGAUCAAUUCUGGUUUCCAAGGCAGAGGGACGAACUUCAUAACCAUAGUCCACCUUGUAGUGAUUUCAUAUGGUCCUGACUAUAUAGCAUCUUAAUCAGUAACUUAAGACAGUCCCACUCCAAUUUCAAGUGGACAUCCACAUGAAUAUGCACAGAUUGAAAACUUUAAACUAAAAGUUUGAGUCUGCACUCAAAUUUUAUUUCCUCAUAUUCAACAUAGUCACAUUAACCUCAUCCAACAUAUAUAUGCAGCUAUGCAUCAUCCAAAAUUCUAAGUUACAUAAUUUCAUUCUAUGAAAAUCAUUGAACUGCACCCAGUUAAAUUCUUAUAUUUAAUUACUCAAUGCCUAAAAUUCCCAAUAUUCUAGUAGUUAAUCUAAUAAGGGAAAGAACACAGGUCCUUUAAACAGUUACCUGUUUUACCCAGUGCAACUGGAACUUGGGAGUGAAGACUGUCUUCAAGAAGGCAAUGUUCAACAAAUAGCCAGUUAUAGAAUCAUGCUUGGUGAUUGGAUCCCUGAACUUCACACGUUCAUCAUACGCCGUCCGAUCAAUUCCUUGAUCAUCAAACAAGUGAACUAAAUCCUGGUACAGAAAAUCGACCACCCUUUCCAUGUCGACGGUUGAUUUUGGCGGGCUUUGGUCUACUAAGCUAAGUCUAACAGCCCACUUUGAGUAGUUUUGCCUUGUUUGAAGCCCCAAGUGUUUGUGUUUCAAGGCUUUGGAACGUGGAUGGCAUGGUAGUUUAUUCGCUUUGGUGGUGCUCAGCCGCCGUAAACUGACGCACACGGCGGGGAUAGGCCUGAAAACUUGGUCGGAAAGCUGUGUGCUAGCCAUUUGGUGGUUGUGGUGGGCGUGUGACUGUGUUGGCUUGGUGCGUGACCAUGCAUUGCUACUAUGAAACAACUUAGCCACAAGUAUUGAUUGGUUGGUGUUCGUUUCUGAAAUUAGUGGCUACAAUUUCUUCAUGUAAACAUAAUUGAAUAGUAGAACUCGUCGUUUGUAAAUACCUUAUGAAAAUGAUAAGGAGAAACACUAGUAUCAUUGUCCUGCAGAUAUGACUUUAAGCUAAAUUCUCCAUUCUAUGGUAGACUAGCACAGUAUUGCAGCACAAUUUCACACUCUCAGUACAAGACUUUACUGAUGAGAAACCCCUCUGUAUAUUUGGCCAUCCAUGAACUUCAAUAUCAUAACUAAUCCAAAACAUAAACACCAAAUAAGUGACCAUUUCCCAUCUCCUAAAUCACACAUUGUGCAGGAGAAAGAUGAAAUGAAGGGCAAGAUUCCUCCUGCCGUAAAUAAGUUGGAUAAGUGAGGGCAUCAAGGACUUUUUCAUUUGCUAAGAAAUUAAAAUGUAGCUGGCUUAGUAUAGAACCCUCUUGUUUCCCAGGGUUCUGACAGGAAUCACAGGAUUAAAUGGCAACAGCCCUCCCUCAGUCUCCCACUCUCAAGACUCCUCUUUCAGGAUGUGUGACGACGAGUGCUAUGAAGGUAAGUCUCUCUUGACCUCUGCAUCCACCUCUAAGCUUGGUUUGUCCAUUUCUAAUGUCAUCACAAAAUGGCUCGAAUCCCUACCCGAAGAAAUCAUACCCAACAUCCUAAUCACACUACCUGUCAAAUCCCUCAUCAGAUUCACCUCUGUCUGUAAAUCUUGGGAGUCCACCAUCAAAAACCCAAAAUUUAUCCACACCCACCUCACCCACACUCUCAAUUCCAAUGACCAAAACGACACCCACCUCAUUCUCUUCCACGAUGUUCAUAGUAAACAUUUCUGUCACUAUCCUAAGUACAAGAAGCCUCUUUCUCUCUGCAUUAUGAUUACACUGCUGCUGUUACUGAGUAUUGCAAGAUUGAGUUUCCAGUAGCUAUCAAGGAAGCAGUCAUGAAUGCUUUUCGUGUUGUGGGUACUUGUAAUGGGCUGGUUUUGCUGGCUGAUGAUUUGGAGGAUUACGGUUACACCUUUGUUGUAUGGAACCCUAGUAUAAGAAGGUAUGUGACCCUUCCCAAGUCCACUAUGAGGUUUUCGAGGCAAGGUACGUAUGUUGGUCCGGUUGGUCUGGGUUAUGAUGCUGUUGGUAAUGACUAUAAGGUUGUGAGACUUACCACCCUUUUUAAGAAAGAGAAUCCUUGUCGGCCUGAUAUUUGGCCCACUUCAGUUGAGGUUUAUUCACUCGCCAAGGGCAUUUGGAGCACGGUCAGUCCUCCUCAAUGUAUUGUUCUUCAUUACUCCGCUGCUCAGGUUUUCGUCAAUGGGGCACUUCACUGGAUGGCUAAGCAUUGCCAUUGGAUAGAUGAGAUGGUACAUAUAGACUCUUUCAUUUUGACAUUUGAUGUGGCUGCUGAGUCAUUUGGAGAGAUAAUGUUGCCCAAGGGCUUCGAAUCAGAGGAGGCACAGUUGUCUACGUUGUCUGAUUCUGGAGAUAGAAAUUCUAUUGCUCUGUUUGUGAGGAAUGAGGUUCCGGGUGCUUUUGGUCUUGAAUAUUGGGUAAUGAAAGAGUACAGUGAGGAGAAAUCAUGGACAAAGUUGAUGGUUUUUGGUCCACAUGAUCGGUGGAUAAAUGUACCCAGGGUAUUGUGUUUUAGGAGGAGUGGUGAAGUGAUGUUGUUACUUAAGGAUGGCCAUACAGUUUCACUUGACAUUGUGAGCGAAGAAUUUAAACAUCUAGGGAUGUAUGGAGGGGACCUUAGCUCUGUUCACUCUUAUGAAGAGAGCCUUGUCUUGCUUGAAAGGAAAGAUGUUGUUUCUUACUGAGGCAAUGAACCAAGUAAGGUGAUUAUUUCUUGAACUUACCUUUGCUGAUAGCUUCUAAUUUUAAUGCAUAUGCUGCUAAUUGUAUAUGAUCUAUGACGAUUGGAUUUUACCUCAGCCACAAAGUUUGAUAUUGUGUAUGCUGAUUGCUUUGAUUGCUCUGUGCGUCAUGUAUUAUAUUUUUUCUUUGCCACAAGUUUGUUGUUCGUGUCUUUCUGGUGUUUCGUUAGGAACUUGCUAUAAUAUUGUUUUAAAUGUUUUCCUGUCUUAGCUAAUUGUCUUUCUUGUUCUGUCGUUUUGAGAACAGAGACUAGUAACCAAGUUGAUUAGAAAUCAAGCAAACCAACUUCAGAACAAUUCGCUGUACUUUAUGUUUGGAAAACAAGACUUAAAUGAGUAACUACUCAUAUCAUAUCAUUGCUUUCUCCGUGUUUUCUAUAAUAUCUGUUUGGUAUUACCUUAGACAGUAGAGUGUGGUCUCCAAGGAACUGUUGAGGCUACUGCAUUGUAUUUGAAAUUACAUGUUUUUAUUUGCUGUUGUUAACUGACCAUAUUAUCUCUGUCGAUGAUGUGUACUUGUCACUUUGAAUCGUUCCCAACCAACCAUAUUAUCUGGUCGAUUGAUUUGUUAGUUUUUGAUGACUACUUGUUACUUUUAAUAUGAAUAUGGCACAAAUCAUGCUAUUUGAUUUUCUAUUUGCAUAGGCAGCAUCAUAUGAAAGCUGAUGAAAUGUGGGAUACCAAAAUUAAGACCGAGUAAUAGUUGCAACUUUCUACUCUAAUUUCUGUAGAUUUUCUUUGUUUAUCAAUAUUUGGAUUGAAUUUCCAUGGCAUUAUCUUUUUCUUUUCUGGGUUGAAUUACCUCCGUUUUACAUUACAUGCCUUGGCAAUCUUGAGCUGAUUAUCAUCCUACAUCUCUGUCAUCAACUGUGAACCACAUACUUUCCCUUCACUUCACUCUCUAGUCUCUAUGUUGUGUUAAUACAAAUAUCUGAACAAAGCGUUGAAAAGUGUUCUACUACCACUUCCGGUGCGUUCAUGCAGCAUCCCUUUUGGGACUCCAUAGCAUUUGGGACUCCAUUUGUAUAAUAUAACUUGCUGAAGCAUUUAUUCAAUUGUGUGCAGGUCAGACAUUGGGACACAUGACUUUCAAGACUGUUUUUUGUAGCUGUGAAGUGUGAGAAUCUGAUGCAUGGGUUUGCAAUUUCAGUCACUCCAUCUACCGACUGAACUUUUGAAGUGCAUCUAUAUAGGAUAUGUAGUCCCAUCUAGUAUGGGUAUGUAAUCCUAACAUGACUCGCUUCUAAUUUGGAUCUUCCAUCAGACUUAUCAGUAGUUAUUAGUAUUCUCGUGUGUAACAAUAUUUCAACUGAAUAGAUUACCCUCUAUCUUAAUCGUUUACGCGAUCUCUUGUGGUUUUUCUUAACCGCAUCCAAAGCUUGAUGCUUACAAGCUUUGGAAUAUGGAGAAUGGCCUAAAUUUGCCUUUGCUACUUGUGAAUUCUUUCAUGCUUGUGUCUUUGCUAUUCCACAUUCUAUUGAAAGAUCCUUUAGACAUUGAGAACAGGUCAACUUGCGGAACAUGAUUCACCUUCGAUUAAUCAGGGAUGACACUAAGAAAUUGAUACUAGGAGAGAAAUUUGACAUAUGCUAAGUAUCAGAAGUCUCUCAAUAUACCCUGAAUUGAUUCCCUCAAAGAUUGAUGUGAAAUUGAAAGAAAGAACCAGUAUCAUACUCACUUCAAGCUAAUUUCUCCAAUCUAUGCUAGACUAGCACAUUCUUGCAGCACAAUUCCACACUCUAGCACACGACUUCACUGAUGAGAAACGCGCCAAGCAUAUCAUCAUUCCCCUAUAUACACACUUCAAUAUCCCAACAAGGCUGUUGUAUUGCCAAGUUGGGCUCUUUCAUUACGGACUUUGGUGGUGGUUCAACGGGGCCGUGACUGGAGUAAAGCCCAUAUGCAUUGCAAAUUGCUUUUCGGCUAUGAGACAUCUUACCCACAAGUUGAUUGGUUGGUGUUCAUUUCUGUUUACAUCCUUAAAUAUAUUAUGCAAAACUAUUAAGAUAAAGAUUUUAAACUAAAUAUUUCAAUACUAACCUCACAAUCAAGAAUUUUUGUGAAAAUAUAAUAUUAAACUAAAAUCAAUAAAAUCCAAACAACAACAAUUCUCUACAUCUUUACAUCAAAAAAAAAAAAACAAUUCUCUACAUCUUUUAAAUCAGAUUUGAGAAUAUACAAUGUGGUGGGAUUGUUCGUUCUUAUUUUUAUUUUAUUUAUGGCUUCAAAUGUAGUCUUUCAUAUAUAUAAUCGUAAAGAAGGAAGUCAAUAAAGAGAUCAAGGAGAAUAUAUAUAGGAUGUGGUUUGUGAAUAAAUAGAGGUAUGCGUUAAAUAUAUUGAUGAUAUAUUUUUAUAUUUUAUCAGAUUGAGGAAAAUAAAAUAAAGAAAAUAAAAACCAGAUUUUCUCUCAUAAUUUUGAGGGCAGAAUUAGAACGUUAAAGAUAAAAAAUAAGACGUGGGGUGAACUAAGCAUUUAGUGGGGUGGAAAUAGCCGCACCCUAAAAUAUUUGUAAAAAAUGUUCUAAAAGGUGCUAAAAACCAAGAAUAAGAAAACUCAUUAUUUGUAAAUUAAAGUGCAUAUCUUAAAUCAUUUUUGUCUAAGUAAAAGCAGGCAUGAAUCGAGAAUCUUAAACCACAAUAAUAUCAUACAACAAUUCUCAAAUAGAAAGAUCAUAGCCCCAUAAAUUACAAAAUUUGCUCACUCAUAUCCACCACUAAAGUAAUAUAUGUACAUUGCAUUUGUGUAGAGAACUACUAUAAAUUUAGGAAAAUUCAUACCUGUCCAAACUUUUUGACUGUUAUAUGUACACGUUUGUAAAACAUUGCCAUAUAAAGUGAACGUUGGACAUGCAUUAGAAAAACACAUUCUUCCACACUCUUGACACAAGUCGUCACUGACGAGAAACGCGCCAAGAAGCAUCAUCCCUCUAUAUAUAUGCCCAUCCAUGAACUUCAAUUCCAUAACCAAUCCAAAGCAUACACACCAAAGCUCCCAUUUCCCUCAUCUCCUAAUUCAGACUCUUCAUUUCAUAAGAAAACCCAUCAUCCAAAACCUCCAAAUCAACAGUCCAAACUAGAAGGAUGUCGAAAAUGUUUGCCCUUUCAAAGUUCGAGACUGCCUCAAUAUCAUGGUGGAAGAAGCAUGGAGAUGGAGACGACGACGGUGAUGAUGGAUACGACUAUGCCCCAGCGGCAUCAGCAUGCAUGGAAGGCGACAGCGAUGACGACGAUUCCGACUAUGAUUAUGCUCCGGCGGCCUCUACGGAAGGCGAUGACGACGACGAUGAUGGUGGUUAUGAUUAUGCUCCAGCUGCAUAAGAGCUGUGUAACUAGCAAUUCAGUCGAAAUUGCUUAUAUUAAUUCUUGAUAUGAGAUCGAGUGGCAUUUCUAUCACAGGGUUAUUUGCAAACCCCUAAGUAUUUUCUGACGGCCUUUGUAGCUCGUCAGAUGUUAUAGGGUAUUAUGUAUCAAUUUCUGAUCAGUAAACCUCUGAAUUAUGGUCCUCUACUACUCUAAUUUCGUUUUUUGUUUGAAACUCGAAGAUGCUAAUUAAGUAUUAACAUGAGCAAAUGUGGUUUGUGACACUGUUUCCUUUCAAUGAUCGAAGUCUGUAAUAGUUUCAAGCACACAAUAAGUCUCAUUUCCCUAUCUGCAAGUUUGCUUAAUUAGUGAAAUAGAAAUACUUUACAUGGAUGAUUUGAUCAUCACUUACUAAAUGAAACUACUUGACUAUCAAUUCGAGGAACCUGGAGAAACCAAAUUUGUUCAUAUGCUGUUGUUAUUUUCCAUCUUUCUUGUAAUGGCUCAGCUCACCCCGCACUUGCUUUAUCAUGAUAUUCUCUUCCUUUACCUUUUCAAUUAUAAUUCUAAUGUAUUUCUCUAAGUGGUCACUUUACUUAUCAUCUGCUAUAAACUAAAUUCAAACUUUCUGGGAUUGCUGACGAAGAGCUUAGUAUUCGACGAGCUACUAA
Molecule: long non-coding RNA, 60092 nt
Filed under: Fragaria vesca (wild strawberry)
Lineage: Eukaryota; Viridiplantae; Streptophyta; Magnoliopsida; Rosales; Rosaceae
Description: long non-coding RNA (FVES_LNC000066)
Source: RNAcentral